Molecule: long non-coding RNA, 72613 nt
Filed under: Citrus maxima (pomelo)
Lineage: Eukaryota; Viridiplantae; Streptophyta; Magnoliopsida; Sapindales; Rutaceae
Description: long non-coding RNA (CMAX_LNC001758)
Source: RNAcentral
ACAAUUCAGUGAGGUUUUGAAGAUCAACAAUUGAAGAAGAUAGGCGUUCCAGAUUUGGAAAAGCUUCAAUCCACAGAGAUGUUAGAGAGGCAGGAAGAGGAAGCGCGGUCCCUAAUCUUUUGUCCUCUAGUGGAAAUGAAACCAUGUCCUCAUCGCAUCUGCUGAUUGUAAGACGUCGCAGAGAGGAGAAUCUGUGAAAUCCCCGUCCCCGCUCAAUCAUUGACUUCCAAAUCUCCAUAUUACCCCAAAUAUCAAGUGACUGAAGGUUGGUGGGAAGGCCAUCUUCUUCUUCAAGGCUUGGAAGCGCACCUCCUUUUCCUAUUCUUAAGUAUUGAAGAGAGGUCAGAUUGUGCAUUCCCUUGGGUAAGGCCUCUAGUCUCUUACAAUCAAGUAUCGUCAGCCUCGUGAGUUUCGCACAAGGCAAUCCCCCUUCGGGAAAGGACACCAGAUUUCCACAACUAUCUAUACUGAUUGUUUCAAGAGAUGUGUUGUUGUCCAACCUUUCUGCUAUUGACCCCAGAGGUAGAUUGCCAACUUCAAGGGACUCAAGCGUGGCAGGUAACUCGUUUUUUGAAAAUAUACAUGUCAGAGAUGGACAACUAAUAAUUUCUAAGUGCUCGAGAAGAGAUGAGGUGUACCUUCUGCUGCUGCUGCUACACUGGAUGCCCUCUUCCACUGUCAAAGUCCUUAUAUUAUAGCAAUCGCAGAUCUGCAACUUCUUAAGGCUCGAUGGUAGCUGGACCGCAGCAAUAUAUGUCAAGGAAUGGCACUUCUCAAUAUCCAAGAUCUCGAGAGACGAAUUGGUGUCGCACAUCCAUGCCUCUGGUAACGAUUUCAGUGCAUCACAAUGCCUAAUCUGAAUUUUCUUCAACUUGGAAGGCAGAGCAACCUCAGGAAAGGAAACAAGGGAACUGCACUUGCAGAUUUCUAUCUCUCUCAAGGAACUGAGGCUGAACGAUGAUUGUGGCAGCUUCACAAGGCCUUCGCAAUUACUCAAUCUUAGAUAUUCAAGUCUGCAUGACAACUCGCAGAGCUGCUGUUGUUGGUCUUUCUUUUCCUCCGCCACCAAGGAUUGAAGUUUGGGACAGCUGUCAAUCGUCAGUCUUUUGAGAGAGCAAAUGUCUUGCAGUAAUUCGUUAUGACUCUUCCAUAUAUGUGUUUCAUUUUUAAUAUUUUUUAUCUCCAAUUCUUCCAGUUUUGGUAUUCGCGGCUUCAAUGGCCCUGCGAGAAACACUUGAUUUGAUGUAUCUCUACAAACCACUGAAUUCUGUGAGCCGAGAUGAUCAGUUGCACUUCUCCACACAACCUUUUUACAUCCACCAAUUUCCAUUUUGCAAAGAGCUGGAAGACUCGCAAUUGAAAUUGAUAAUUCUUCGCAUUCUCCAAUAACAAGCAUCUCCAAUGCAGGAAGGUGCUCUGGAAAUGUUCCUUGCAGUUUAGAACAUCUUAAAAUGUGAAGCUCUCUCAAUUUAGGAAACCGUUCAACUCCUUGACUGGAUCCAUGAGGAAUCCACUCUUCCCACUCUUGCAGGUCUUCAAAACGAAGAGUCUCCAAGCAUGUAAAUGGAAUUUGAGAGUCAUCCCCAUAGAACUCUGAACCCAAUCUCUUUACUCUACUCAUUCCACGCACUGUAAGAUGCUUUAGAGAGGGCAGUUGGCCGACUGACGGCAGGGCAGUACACAUGCCGCAAUCUUCAAAUUUAAGUGUUACUAAAUUUAAGAAUGAGGAAUCUCCUAACCAUGUUGGAAAUUUUGUACCUCCAUAGCCACAGAUACCAAAUUGUUCCAGAUUUUUAUGGGGUUUGAGCACGUCAAGCACACCCAUUUCAGUUUCUGCCUCCCUUGAAGAUGAACCAUCGGUGCUGCAAGUCCAAUUAAGCGAUAAUUCUCUAAGAUUCUUCUUUCCAUCCAACCGAGCCUCCUUUGCAUCACCAAUGUCUUUUACAUUCUCUAAUUUUGAAAUUUUAAGUGUCCCCUGAAGAUGUAUCAAUGACUUUAGCUCUCGUAACCCAGAACCAUUGUCUUUUCCCACAGCGAAAUUACCCAGCAUUUGAAGACAAGUCAGCUUACCAAUUCCUAGUGGCAUUUCCUCCAAGGAAUCUGUAUUUGAAUUAUUGAGAUGAUGCAAUUUGAUGAGAUUUCCCAUGUCUGCACACAACUUCUUCAGUCGUCGACAGCCCUCCAAAAGAAGGGUGUGCAAGUUGUAAAGCUUGCUGACUGAUUCAGGCAGAGUUUUAAUUUCAGUUCCAGACAGGUUAAGGUGCCUUAAAUACCUCAAAUCACCAACUGAAUCCGGCAGCUCGGCUAUGCAAUAUCCACGCAGAGAGAAGACCCUUAAGCUUUGGAGUUUGAACAACUUAGGAAGAAUGCUAUGAGCCAAGUAUCCAUGCCGACUAUUUAACAUCACUGGUAAAAAAUUUCUCAAAUGUUGGAUAUCAUACAAUUUCUCAAACCUUUGAACGCCAUCAUAAUCUCCACGAAUGUACGACAGAUGACGAAGAUUUCUAGAAAAACUUUGUUGCUUGUUAACCUCCGAGGUAUACUCCAGUGUGAAGUAUGUCUCCCCUGCAGCCCAACGGGCAAGGUCGUUGAUAAGAUCGUGCAUAACAAAUCGUGACAUACUGUUGCUCGAUUGCUGGAAAAAAGAUCUUCCACGUAGCUCUUGAAAGAACUUUCGACCAAGAUCUUCACUAGGAUUCCCACUCUCUCCGUGAUUCAAGAAACCCACAGCACUCCAUAAUAAAAUUAUCUCCCCCUCUUCAAAUUCAUAAUCCUUUGGAAACAAUGAGCAAUACGCAAAGCAUUGUUUCAAAGGUGCCGAAAGAUAAUAGUAGCUCACUCUAAGCGCCGGCAUAAUGUCACAUCUCUCUUCUUGCAAUUCCCAUAUCUUGGUACUGAGCACUCUCUCCCAAUCACAUCUGUCAUCUUUUCCUCGCAAAAGUCCUCCAAGUGUUUGCGCUGCCAAGGGCAAGCCAUCGCAUUUGGCCACUAUCUUCUUGCCAAUUUCCUCCAAUAACUUAUCUGACCCCAAAGAGUGUUGAGCGAACACAGACAGACAAUCAUCGUUUGACAACUUUUUCAAUUCAUAAGCCGGAGCAGUCCCCAUGAUGGCUGCAACCCCUUGAUUACGAGCUGUGACAAUAAUCUUACUUCCCGGUGCGCCAGCUUCAAAUGGACGCCUGAGUCGAUCCCAAUCAUUGUAAUUCUCAUUCCAAACGUCAUCUAAAACAAGCAAAAAUUUAUUUUGAGAUAAUUUCUUCUUCAGCUCCUCUUGAAGCUUAUUCAAGUCGUGAUUAUCCACAUUCUGGUCACUAGCAAUUGAAAGUAGGAUUGAUUUUGUAAGCCUGAUAACAUCAAAAUCAUCAGAGACGCAAGUCCAUGCCUUGAGAUCAAAAUGAUCCUGCACUUGCUUAUCAUUGUAGACAAGCUGAGCGAGAGUGGUUUUGCCCAGCCCGCCCAUACCAAUGAUAGGAAUAACGGAGAAUUCACCAUCAUUUCUCAAAUCAUCCCUCAACAACAAUACAACAAUUUCCUUCUUUUCUGUUUCCCUCCCAUAUACCUUGGCUUCAUUCACCAAAGAGGUUGUGGGUAGUCUUUGCCUAUCUUUUUUGGACCUUCCAACUGAACUUACGUUCAAACCCAGCGAGUCUUUCUGUGUUACAAUAUCUUGAAAUCUGUCGUUGAUCUCUUUGAUUUUGGACAUUAUGGCGUAAUCGAACUGAAUCGAUUGUGGAGUAAAAGUGGUGCAGCAAGUAGGAAUGAGCUUCCGAAACUUACUUGUUCUUGUACGACUGCUACUGGGUUGAUCAAGAGCAGCAGCUGGAUCUCGAUUUCCAAGCAGCAACUUCCUCCGGAAAGCCUCAGUUUGAAACUCAUCCAGCAAGUCUUCAACAUCAAAAGCCAAGUUCUGAAGCUCGCCAAGCCACAACUUCACAGACUGAUCAGUCUUCUUCUCCUCAGCAUCAGCAAGCACCGCCUUGAUCAUCACCAACAUAUUCUUCCACUUCUUUAGGUCGGCUUGGAUUUGCUCUUGGCGUGCAAACAGCCGAAUCCCCUCUGAAGCUAACUUAUUGACCAGCAAAUCAAUGGACGCCGUAAGGAUUGCCUCUCCGAUGAAUGACAUUUUUUGUUCUUUUGCUUUUUUUUUUUUUGGUUUUGCAAAGAAAGAAAGGAGCAGAAUUAUGGGUUAUGGAAAGCAGAAUGAGAAAAUGGAACAGGUGAGAAAAUGGAUAAUUAAGCAGAAUGAGUGUGUGAUUGUGAAGGGUCUGGCCCAGCAAGCUUAGUAGAAAUCACGCGUUGAUACUUUAUUGACCAAUGACUAAUAAUUUGGCAAUUCACUCAUCACCACCACUUGGUAAGCAAAAUGAAAAUGCUUAGUAAUUAAGUGUCAAGGGUCAAGCAAAUACGGCGUUAAUCCAGUGUCUAUUUCCUAGAACCUUCAUCUCAUAAACCAAGUUCAAUCAAAACGUUCCUCUCUCGCUAUUUUUUUUUUAAAAAAAAAAAACUCCUAAAACGUUUCUUUUUAGAAAUAUUUUACUUUAUUCAUCUAAUAUGUUAUCUAACAAAUACACACAAUUGAAAUCACUCUAAAGUGAAGAUGAAAGGGGAAAAAAAUUACCUUCCAACCACCAGUAAUCUAGCAAGCUUCACUUUAUUCCACCAAAGUGUAAAUAAAGCCAGCCCCCACCGGCAUCAAUAAUUUUGCAAGCUUCACAGGCUUGUUGUCUUCUCCUUGACGAACUGGACAUGAGUGCACCAAGAAUCAAUGACAGAAUUUUAAAAAUAAUAAUAAGAGAAAAACCUACAUAUUUUCGACUUAGAGUAGAACCUUAAUUAAUGCUAAAAUCUACUCAGCUAAUUUUCAAAACCGUGAUUAGGGUUCAUCUCAAAUGUUUGAAGAGAGUCUAUCAGUUCUUCUACGUUAAGAAUAUCAAAAUUCUUGCUUUUUCUUCAAACAUUGAAGAAUGAAAACAAAAAGUUGAAUAUGGAAGAAAAGAGAAUGCAUCCAUCUUCGCUGUAGAAGUCUUCUACUUAUAAAAGCAAGUUAGAAUAAACUAUUUUAAUCUCUCUUUUUAUUCUUGUAAGUGCACUACAUUUUUUUUUUUAAUCUCAAUGCGAAAUCAUAUCAUAAUGUUAUAUUCAUGUUGUAAAACGAAAUUUUAGAUAAAACAAAUUCGACUCAUUUUUUAAAGGUAUAUAUUUAAUAGGUUACUAACAUAACUAACAAAACGUGAUUAUUACACUAAGGACAUGUUUGGUUACUGUAUUAUAACCCCUCAUUGCAUUAGUUUUAUACAAGCCUAUGUUUGGUGAAUUAAAAACUACAGAAACACUGCAUUAUGGGCCUAGCUAAUGCGGCAAACUGCCGCUUGCUGUUUCCUUUUUUUUUUUUUGCCUUUUCAUUUCCAACUUUUCAGUUUUUGCUAACUUUUGUUUUUACUUUAAUUUUUUUUUUCUUUUCGUUUCCAACUUUUCAGAUUUUACUAACUUUUGCUUUUACUUUAAUUUUAUUAUAAUAAUAAUAAUAAUAAUAAUAAUAAUAAUAAAUAUUUUUAAUUUAAUAUUAUAUUAUUUAAUAUUUUUAUUUUUACAUUUUAAUUUAUUAAUAAAUUUACAAUUUAUUAUGACUAAUAAUAAAUAUUUAAAUAUGAAUAAUAUUAAUUUAAAAUUAAUAAUAAUAUAAAAUAUUAAUAUAAUUUAAAUAUAUUAAUAUAAUAUAAUAUAAUAUUUAAUUUAAAUUAAUCAAAAAAAUUAUUACAGUACAGUGUAGUACCAAACAUUGUACAGUAUUAUUAUAAUAUAAUACUAAUAUAAUACAGCAUAAUAUAAUACAACAACAUUAAAGUAAUGCAAUACAACAUAAUACAAUACGUGUACCAAACACACCCUAAAUGAAAUAAAAGACAGUACUAUCACCAAUAAUUUAGCCAGUUUCGCAUGCACGUGUUUCUAAAAACAUUAUAUGGAAUCAAACAACAGUGAUACAAAGAGAAAAGUGGAAAUCCUCUGAUUGUAUUUUUUUUUUUUUUUCAAAAGAAAUGGUGGGGUUGGUUUGUUUGCAAAGUUAUUAGCGUGGGUCUAUUUGUUUUUGUUUUAACUUUUUUUUUUAAACCAUUCAGUUUCUGGCGACCGCAUUGAAUCCUGACUAAUUCGAAUUCGAAGUGUAAUCACAGUUAAGACUCAUUACCCCUCCCAAAUGGUGUGUUUAAUGGGGAUCGAAACCGAGAGCCCUUCUCACAAAUCCAACCAGCGUUGCCAACGGAGCCACAACCAUUUGGUUUGUUUUAACUUUAUUAUUCGAUAAGCAAACGUGUAAUGAUUUGUAAAUAUCACUAGCAUCACAUUAUUGGGAGGUAUUGGGCUUAGUAUUCACAAUUUUUGUAAGAUGAAUUUGUAAGACUAAUUAAUUUUGAUGAAAAUGUAUCGUUAUUAAGAUAUUAUUUAAUUCAUUAAGUUAACUUGAGGUAUUAAUAUUCACUAAUUGUGGUGCUGAUUAAUUUACUUAACUUGUCACUAUUUGCAAUUAUGAAUGAAGUUCAAUCAAUUUAUUGAGAAAAAAAAAAAACAAAGAUACCUUUUUUCUUUUGAUUUUAAUUCUUAGGAUUUGAUUUCACACUCUUUCGUUUUUUUACGUUGCUAAAGAGGCAGUAAAAAGCUUGCUGAAUGUCAUCAAAUUGGCAAUAUUUGUUUGGUAUUUCAUCUCAACGGAUGCAGUAAGAAUUGCCUCUCUGAUGACUGAAAUUUUUUUUUCUUUUUUUGGGCAAAGAAAGAAACAGAAUUUUGAGUUUUGAAAAGCAAAAGGAGAAAAUUGAACAGUAAGUGUGGAGGGUCAAGCAAAAUGCGCGUAACAAGCCUUCCGCUUGUUGUUUAUUCCAGUAAAGCGAUAAUAAAAUCAGAGCCCGCCACCCAUUAAUAAUUUAGCAAUUCACCAGUCACCAGUCACCAGUCACCAGUCACCAUGAAUAUAUUAAAUUGCACCUUGUAUUUGCGGGAUCCAGCAACAUUGACCCAGUGUCCGGGUAAAUACUGAAUAAAGAGGAAAAUGGAAUGUAUCCACUACGAACCUUCGCUUUGCAAGUCUUCAAACUCAUAAACCAAGAUAAAUCAAAACGUUUAUCUCUUCUAUCUCUUUUUGCCAUAUAAUUACUUUAUUUAUUGAAUUAAUUUCCAUGCUAAAAGGAAGACUUAAAACUGCACUACAAUUUUUUAUAAUCACAAUGAUAAUUCCUACUACCAUGUUAUUUUAAUAUCGUGUCAAAAUAAAUUAUAACAAAAUUUUUUUUAUAUGAACACUCUUUUUAUUUAUAAAUUUCUCGAUUUUUAAUAUUUUUUUCACUCUUUUAGUCUUAAUAUUUGUAUUUCUCUCUUCAAACUUUCUUUAUUAUUUAAUUUUUAAAUAAAAAUAUGAAAAAAAUAAAAAAAAUAUUAUAUUUAAAAAAUAAUAAAUAUUUUAUCGGUCUAAUCCAUUGACAAUGAAAGAGCACGCGAAAAAUCUCACGCAUAGAAAACUUUGUGAAAGGCAUUUGAAUGUGUUGCCACAUUUUCCAAACGAAACGAUAAGGCUUUAGCCUUAUAAUUGCAAUUAGUUUGUCUUGUAACGAAAUUAUUGCCGACAAACACCAUCAUGCUGACAAGCCGUGCAUGCACGUCCUCAAUCACCCAUGUCCUCUACUUGUCUUUUGGUGUUUACGGUGUAGUUAGGGAUGGUAGCGGGUAGGGUCUGGUACGGGUUUGACAUCACCAAACCCGCAUCUACAAAAAAUUUUAAUUACGUAAUUCAAAUUAUAAAUUUAUAACCGUUGCCUAAAAAAGCCACAUAAAAUACUUAAUUCUACAUUUUAUCAAUAUAAAUGAGAAAUGAAAAUAUCAACAUUAAAACAAAUACACAAAAUAUAUCAAUUUAACACCAAUUCUAAAAUUCAAUUACCAAAUAAAUAAGUCUAUCACAACUCGAAGUGCUUUUAAUUUAAAAUGAAAAAAGAGAAAGAGAAAAAACAAAGAGCUACAAAUCAAAGUAGCACCCAGACCUAUUUCAUAGGCUCAUUCGACACUAAGAUCUUAGAAUUAAGAUCUUCAAUUCAUUCAUUACCACUAGCACCCAUUCAACGUGGUUUUUCUAAGCAAAAUAUAAAGUACAAAAUUACAAUAAGCAUAUGAUACUCCAUGCUUUAAGUUAAAGGUCCUUAUAUAAUUUUAUGAAUAAUGAUUUAGUGAAAUUUUAUGAUUAAAGUUAAAAAUACACAAAUAUUAAAAUAAGAAUGUUGGACACUUGCACAACUAUUUGCCAAAUUUUUUCUCUAUAAAAAUUCACUUGCAACUUGCAGCAGGUUUAAAUUUAUAAUAUCAAACUUGAUUGUAGCUCGCAAAAUUUUUAGAUUUGCGAUAAUUUUGCCACCCUAAGUUUAGUUAGUAUUGUAUAUCGUGUGUUUCCAAUUGGCUCUUAUAAAAAGCCUAGAAGUUGUAUGAAUAAUGAGGGAGACAAAUAUUUCCCAAAGAUAUUAUCUUUUUCAAAUUUUUUUCUUUUCUCUAUUAUUGUAACUUCAAAUCCUUAAAAAAUUACAUAUUACAGACAUGAACACAAUGUUUUGACAUAGUGGCUUUUGGCUUGUCUAGAGAAAUUUAGGAUAGAUUUUGAUGUACUAAGGCUCUGUUUACUAUUAAGAUUUUGGAACUUUUGAGCCACACUUGAAAUUUGUUUAAUUCUAAUAGAGUUGUAGCCUUCGAUAUGUGAUUGGUAUUAAUCAAGUGUUAUGUUUACAACAGUUAAAGGCAUAUUGAAUCAAAGUCCACUUUUGAUUGAGAUUUUAAAGUAGGUUUUUAACUUGAUAGCCACUCAAGUUCAAAUAUUGGAACCACAGUGCACCUUUCACUUACUAGGCUUUAACCAAACAGACGACGUUAUACAAACUUCUAUCCAAUAAGGCAAUGCAAACAAAAGCAAGUGAAUUAAAAAUAAAUAAUUUCUCAUUAAUUUGCAACAAGUAUUAAUAAAGUGCAUGAGAAAAUAUGUCUUUUUUUAAAUGAAAAUAAAUGUGUUAAUUAGUCAAUUUAAAUGGUACGAUAUUUUGAAAUGAUAGAAGCGAUCUGGAGUUUAAAUCUUACUCUUGACGUAAUAUUUAAUAACGAAUUUGAAGAACAAUUAAAAAUUAAAAGAAAAGAAAAAAACACUUUCUUUCUUAAUGAUGGUAAUUUGUUCAGAUGAUGAAAAUUCUUAGAGUGGUAUAAUAAGUAUUUUUGAGUGUUGCCAUCGCCAAUAAUAUUUAAUUUCCUUUAUAUAGUUAUAUCUCAAGUAACAUUUAAAUAGAAGCAAGUUGGAAAUUAAAAAAAAAUGAACCAUUGAGAGAAUGAAAAACAAACAAAAAAAAAGUUAAAAAAUUGUAUCUCAAUAAAUUUACUUGAGGGCUACUCUACUGAUCUGUGAAGAGAAAACACAAAGAAUAAUGAUGUAUCUCAAUUAAUAGGACAAUUUUUGUAUUUUUCGUUUAUUCAAGAAUCACGAAACUUCAUUUAAACUUGUUAUUUCAUUGAUAAUAUAUUAACAUUGAACAAUGUAGGGGACAUUCCUUUCCAAUUAUGCCCAUAUAUUAACUAAAGGCCACCAAAAAGUUCAGGGAUACUAUAGUAAUUUAAGUCAACAAUUACUAUGCUUGAAAUCAGCCAAUCAAACUCACUUUAGAAUAAACUGAGAAAUCAAAAUCACAUUCUCCAAUUCUACGAUUUCAAUUCAUCUUCUUUCUUCAACUGAAGAAUUGGUUGUAUCUCGUUUAGAUAAAUAUAAAAUAUAAAUGAUGAGGAGACUAGAAAAGUAAAAUCAAAAGAAGAGCACGAGUUUUGUUGAAAAUGACUCUUUUUCAUCAUUGUGCCGGAGUGAAUGUAUCUACAUAUAAACUAAAGAAGCACAUUUGUUUGUAUUAGCUUUUUUAUUGUAUUUUUAAUAAUAAGUCAUUUUUCAAUGAACUUAUAUCAAUUUUUAUGAAAAUAAUAUGUGUUAGUUAGUUGAUUCAAAUGGCAAAACCUCUUGGGAUAGAGCUUGUAAUUUAUUGGCUCAUGAAUUGUCUAAAUUGACACUACCGAAGCCAAAUUAUUGUAUUUGGUUAAAAAAGCUCCUGCUCAGCUUCAACUUUAUUAUUCUAUGAUGUUUGUUAAUAAAUAACAAUUUUAUUGAAAAAAAAAGACCCCUUGAACUUAUACAAAAGAUUUGGGAUCUGAAUCUGACUUGAAUUUAGCUUGAGGUUGACAUUGUUAGCAUAAUAAUUGAAGAUAGAUUUUUUUAAAUUAAAAAUCAAAAGAUAUAUAUAUUUUUUUGGUUCACACUAGUUAGUUUUAACUCAUAGUGAGAUUUAAACAGAAGCAAAAUAAUAAAUCUUAACAUCCUGACUCAUGGAUAACAUUUACAUAAGAUAGUAAAAUCUAUUAUGUCCAAAAUAAGAGGUGUGAAGUUUGAAUUUUGCUCACAUAGGUAGUAAGAGAAUCAAAUUAUUGUUAGAUUAAAUUAAUUAAAAAAAUUAUCUGAUAUCCAAAACAGCGUAUCAACAAAAUUGAAAUAAAAGAAAAUUGAAGAGAAAAACCAUUGAGAGAACGAAAAAUUAACACAAGAUAAAUUCGAUAACUAAUUGUAUCAGUGUGCGCUAACUUCACUUAUUAAAACUUGGUUAUUUCAUUUUCAUUGAUAAUCAUUUUGACAACGAUUUUUCUUUCCAAGUAUGCCCAUGAACUAAUAAGAGAACUGCCGAAAGGGUUCGGGGAUAAUAUGGUAAUUUAAAUUAACAUUUCCUGUGCUUCAAAUCAUCAAAUCAAACUCACACUUCACAACAACAGAGAAAUCAAACUCACGGUUUCUCUCAUUUUUAAUUUAUUAUAUAAAGAUAAAUAUAUAAAAUUAAAUGGCGAGAAGACCGGACGAGGAAUACGAUUACUUGUUCAAAGUGGUAUUAAUCUAAAAACAAUAAUAUUAAAUAAAACACCUGGGAGUCGUAAUGGAAAGAAGAAUACAAUAUAUGAAACUUAUAAUGUUAUUUUUACUAUAUUAUAUUGAUACUUUGUUUUGUUAAUCAUAUAAGUCAAUCAGUAAUUAUUUAAUCAUUGGAAUUAAAACUAAUGUAUUAAUUAAAAUUCAAAAUCUAUUAUAAAAAUAGUAAAUAUUAAUAUAAAGAGAUGGACCUAUUACAAAAUACAUUCACCAAAAGUUCUAUUAUACUUAAAAUUCUCAUUCACAAAAAAAAAAAAAAAAAUAGUUGAAUACAUGUACAAAAAAAGGGGAUAAAUAAAAAAUAAUAAUAAUAAAUAAUAAAAGGAUAGUUUAUAUAAUAAAAAAUAAAUUUAUUGAAUAGAGAUGUUAAUAAUAAAGAAUAAUAGCCUAAUCAAACUCACUUUAGAAUAAACUGAGAAAUCAAAAUCACAUUCUUCGAUUCUACAAUUGAAUCUUUUUCAUCAUUUUGUUGGAGUGAAUGUAUCUACAUAUAUUGGGGACCAUAAUGGAAACCGGUAGAACCUACAAGGGCUAAAAUCAAAACAACGAACGAUAUCUCAAGGUCGCCGAAACGUAAAUAAUUAAUCUUAUCUUUCAAUUGAUUUUUGUGGAGCCAGAGACAAUUAAACCCGAACAGCAAAUAGCCAUAAAUGAUAGGACAAUUAAAUUGGAACUCUUCACAGACCCACGAUUUAAUAUCUUUAGAUUGUAACGGUUUAACCCAAAAAAAAAAUAGUAAAAUAUUUCUUAAAAAAAUGAAAAAAAAAUGUUGAAAAGAAGAACAAAAUUCUGGUCCACGUGUCAUUUCAAAAUAGGUUGCUGGCAUAAACAACCGGCCCCAUCCCGGACAGAUGUUAUUUGAGUGGUUGGUACGCAUUUCCACUUUUUUGUUUUAGAUGCAACGACUCAUGCACUAAAUAUAUAUAUAUAUAGGGAAUCCCUAUCUUACAUGCAUGUAAAAUAUAUUUUUCUCAUAUAAAUAAUAUAUGUGUAGAAUUCACGUACUGUUUAUGUAAGAGAGAUGUAUCUUACAUACAUGUAAGAUAUGAGGAUUCAUGAAUAUAAUGUUAUUAGUUUAAAUAAUGGGUGCAACUCAUGUUUUUGAAACAUUAAGAUCUUUAGCCAUUCUCUUACUAUCCCGUGGUUAUUUAAGUUACAAGAGACAGUAAAACAACAACGUCAUAUUUUAAUUACUUACACUAAAUAAAUUACUCACACUGAUGCCGCGACUGCCGCUUGCUUUUUUUCUUUUUUUUGCCCUUUUAAUUUUGACUUUUGCUUUUACUUUUUGAUUUUUGCUUUUGGUUUAUAAUAAUAAUAACUACUUUUUAAUUUAAUAUAAUAUUAAAUAAUAUUUUUAUUUUUAAUUUUACAUUAUAAUUAUUAAUAUAUAAUUUAUUAUUUAAUAUUAUUAUAUUAUGUUUUUUAUUUUUACAUUAUAAUUUAUAAAUAAAUUUAUAAUUUAUUAUAACUAAUAAUAAAUAUUUAAAUUUGAAUAAAUUUGAAUAAUAUUAAUUUAAAAUUAAUAAUAAUAUAAAAUAUUAAUACAAUUUAAAUAUAAUAUAAUAUUUAAUUUGAAUUAAUCACAAAAAAUUAAUAUAAUACAGUGUAGCACCAAACAUUGUACAUUAUUAUUAUAAUACAGUACUAAUACAACGCAACAUAAUACAAUACACCAACAUUAAAAUAAUACAAUCUAAUAUAAUACAAUACAGUGUGCGAAAUGCACCGACAUGGUAUUACUUUGUUUGUCUUGUUACUUACAGUUAUUUAAUCUGUAGACCCACUCAUGCUCCUUCUAUGUAACAUAGAUACAAUUUGAGGAAGAUUAUCAAUUUUUUUAUUAAAAAUAAUAUAUACCACUUAUUUUUUAUUAUUUUUAUAAUGUUCAACAAUUCGCUUGAGAUCAAAAAAUUAAAUGAAAAGAAGGAGUAAAUAGAUGAUUUACUUGAUGUUGUAUCUUAGAAAUAUAAAAUAUAUUUAUUUAUUAUUAAAAAUAUUUAAAAAUAAUAAAGAGUAUAUAAAAAGUAUCUUAUCCUCAACAACAAGAUCAGACGACGUCAAUUCAGCAAAAUGACUUGAAUAACUUGAACGUCCAGCAACGGUCACCUCUUGGCGCACACAUGGCAACGUGCGUAGCUUUGGCAAGAGGUCUCCCAAAAGGACGAUUAAGAAAAGAUUGCAGGACAAAUCAUGAAAAUAGUAGUACAGAUAUGCAAUGGCUAAAUUUCCUCGAUUAAGUCCAUCGCAAUCAAGUCUUAGAAAUCACACCCCUGUAUUAAUUUCCAGAAAUAUGUUUGUUCCAUAUUUAUCGUGCACGUAUAUAUUGUAUGUAUUGGGAAUAGAAAGAGUGUAUGUAAAAAAUUCUUCAUUCAUCGAUUAAAACUUAAUUUAUGUACGAGGGUUAAGUGUAGUGUUUUUAAAUUUAAAAAGGACAAGUGUCAAUCCACUGAGGCUUGACUCAAUGGCUAGAGCCACACUCCCUCACAAAGUGGUUCGAUCUCCCACAGAUGUAUUAUAGAAGUUUAAUUUAAAUUUUUUUUCUCAAAUUUUGAGUGAAGACAGUCUUUCUCCCCUAAAUAGAGUUUUUCUAAAAAUUUAAUGUUCUUCGAAUAUUUGAGAUGAUUAAAAUUUGAGCGGUGCUAUAUAAAAUAUAAUGUAAACUAAUCUAAAUAAUUAUAUAAUUAUAAAUAUAAUGAACAAUAGUCUCAUACAAAAAAAUGACAAGUGUAGUAAGCCCAUUUAAAUUAACUUAUAUUUGAGGGGAAAAUCUCUGUAUAUCAUAGUAUAUAUUAUAUAUCCAGUCGUGGGACCCAUACAUGGUUCCAUGUAAUUCGCACAGUUGAACUGGAGACACUGAUUAGUUCGUUGUCUAUUUGCCAACUUAUGUACAACUAAGUAAUUUCAUGCACCAUUUGCGCCUUAUCUAUCCAUCCUGCUUGCAUUGCAUUUUACUAAACAUACAAUGAAAUUAACCCUUGUAAUUUCGGCCUUUGCCAUAGUCGUUUUGUUUAUUAGGUUUAUGUUUAUCAACAUGAUAUGUUGUCAACCAUAAUCACAAUCAAGUUGUUAAUUAUUUUUUAAAUAAUGUGAAGGAACAAGAUUUUGGUCUUUGACUGUGGAGUUAAAAAUAUCUCACCUCAACAUACGGUGUUGUGCUCUCAUCAUCUUAACAUUAUUUGUUAAAAAUUAUGUCAAAGAGGAAAGCAGAUUCAAACAUUACUUCAAUUUUCUUUAAGAGCAUAAAAAAAUCGUUAAUAGGCUACUGUUAUUUGUUAGUACGAUUUCACAGAAGGAGGCUAGAGGAAGAUGAAGCUUUCACGUCAUGUGUGCAUCAAAGUAAGAAACAGAGCUAACGAGAGAUGGACAAGUAUUAACCACUGUUAUCAGAAAUUAAAUAUAUCAGCAUUUUGUUAGUUCUGGCCAUAUUGGAACUAUUAGCACCCUAAUUUUCUUUUGAAGCUCCUUUUCUGUCGAAACCUAUUUUAAUUUCCAAAAUAUUUUUUUUUCAUUUUUUUAGUUUCUUUCUGAUAAAAAAAAAAUCAGUUUCUUAAACAACUCCAACUACAAAUAUUGUUUUACAAAUUUUUGAAUUAUUAAAUCAUAUGUGUGUGUAUAAAUUGAAUAGAAUUAAAAAAGUGGACUCAAAUGGGUAUUGUGUAAUUUUUUUUAUAAUUAAAGAAAAGUUUAGAAUGCAAAAGAGUGUGAGAAAACAAAAAAUAUAAAUCACCUUUGAUGUAGUUGUAUGGUUGUAAAGAGUUAGAUGGAGAAAUAUAGUAUAUAAUUAAAUUUAUUUUGUUCUUUAAAACGGAUAGGUUUUAUACGAAUUUUUCAGAGGAGUGCCAAUAUUUCAACUCUAUCAUUGCUAUUAGUUUGUCUUGUAAUUCAAUCAUUGCCGACAAGUAUUAAUUGUGACUAUUAUUAUUAUUAUCGUCGUUAUUCUUAACAGCAAUGACUAGAAUUAUAAUAAUAACAAUAACAAUAACAAUAACAAUAACAAUAACGUCAAUACAAUAAUAUGGGUCCGCCUAUGUUGCCACUUAUGUAUGUUGCUACAGCUUUUGUCUUUUGUGAUCAGUUAUUGUAACAUCUCAUUGAGUCCCUUACACUCUAUUUUAUUUACAAUUUAUUUAUAAGUAUUAUGAUUUUUUUAUUUACCUACACUUUUAAAAUUUAAAUUUUCACUUCACACUAUUUUUUAUUUACCAUUUUUUAUAAGUAUUAAAGGAGUUUUCGUUUUCAACCACAAAACAAUAAUCAUCAUAACACAUUAUUAUCAAUAAAAAAAAUAAAAUACCCUUAAAUUAGUACUAAAAGAAACUCUUUUCUCUCUUGGAGGAAUCACAAUAGCUCAUCUUCCAUCACUUAUCAUCAAUAAAAUUUUCAAGGAUAUAAUCAAUCAUCUUCUUUACUAUAUCAUCUCAUAAUAAUUAAGACUUUAAUGAUAAAAGAAUUAACAAAAUAAAAAAAAAUUUCCCGUGAAUCCAUCCCUCUCCACUAUCAAUUUCUCUUCAUCAGCAACUUUUAUCAACAAUUGAAGCCACUAUUAGAACUCACCACAAAGAGAGAGUAUGGGAGGGGAAGAAGAAACGGGUAAAAAUAUAUGAAAUGUUUUCAAUUUUAUGAUACGUUUACUAAAUAAGAAUCAUAAUUAGAUAGAAUCAUAGUAAGUUGAAAUUAAAAUGAGCAGGAAUCAAAAUAAGAAAUUGUAAUUAGAAUAAAUUAUUUAUUUGAACUAUAGAAAUAGUAAUUGGAAUAAGCUAUAUUACAAUUAAUGUAUUUACUUUGUUUUAAAAUCAUAAUCGAAAUAAGUUAAGUUGUAACAAACUACCAUAAAGUACUUAAUUAAUUAUUAUCAUAAUUAUUACUUUGUAUUUUAAUUAUUGUGAUUAUUAUUAUUAAAAAAUUUAAUAAUUAUUGCUAACUAUUAUUAUUAACAAUAUAACUCAAAAAUUAUUAGUUAUUGUUAAUAUAUUAAUUAAUUAUAAAACUUUUAUCAUUAAUAAUAAUAAUAAUAAUCCAUUUAAAUAAUAAUAUUAAUUAUUAAUUAUUGUUAAUAUAUUAAUUAAUUAUAAAACUUUCAUCGUUAAUAAUAAUAAUCUAUUUAAAUAAUAAUAAUUAUUAAUUAUUGUUAAUAUAUUAAUUAAUUAUAAGCUUUUAUCGUUAAUAGUAAUAAUAAUAAUAAUCCAUUUAAGAAAAUAACAAUAAUAAUAAAAAAAUUGUCAUCAUCAUCAACGGCAACAAAAAAUGGGAAUCGGUGGCGGCAUCAUCAUCCACAACGUCGGCAUCAUCAUCAUCAUCUUGAAGACGGUCGGUAAAGACGAAGACGACGACGAGAAGGAGAGGUGGAGAUUUGCUCUUUGAAGAUGGUGAUGAGGUCGUUACCUGCAGGGGACUAAAUCAUGGACGGUGAAGACCAAUGACAACCAGCGAGCUAGAACCGAUCCUAGUGCUGUGCUUCUUCUUGGAUGCAACUAAAAAAUUCUUCCUCUUGGCUGCGAUGGAGGGUCGAAACGUUGGAUGUGUUUGUUAUUUUUUUAAUUUUGCUGGCUGUGUUUUCUAAUUAACUGUGGCGUAUUUUGAGAAUUUAAAAAGCUUGAAGGAGUAAAUUUGGUACUUUUAGGGGCUCAAUCAAAUAAAAUAGAGUGCAAAGGGUUCCAUGAAAUUUUAGAAUAAUUAAGUCACAAAAGACAAAAGCUGUUGUAACGUACAACAGUGGCAACAUAGGCGGACCCCAAUAAUAUAACAACAUAAUAAUAUUUUAAUUGGGGUCUUCCACCUGGGUAUGCAUGAUUCCUUGUGACAUGUGCCAAUUAAAUUCUGACAUACGUGCAAUAAAGACUGUAAAGUGACCGGUUAUUCCGAUUGAAUUCACAAGAGCUCUUGUUUGUGUGUUUGUGUUCCAAGUUGUGUACUCUGUGUUACGAGUUCUCUAAUUAAUCUGAUAUUAUCGCAACUGUUGCUCAAUAAUGUUACAUGCAUUAUAAUAUAUGUCACUGGUACGGUCGCUGUCUCAAGUGGUAAACAUUAAGGCACAAAUUUAGAAUGAAAAGUUUCCCAGUAAAAUAAGUUAUUUAAUUAAUUAAAUAAGAAUAAAAUGAAUUUGUGAAAGAAAUUUAAAUUUAAUUUUGAAUUAUUUUGACCAAAAUUUAAGUUUCUUUUUAAUUUGUUUAAGAAAGUGCGUUGUAAUUAUCUUGUUUUAAUUGGAAAAUCAAUGAAAAAAUUAUGUAACAGGAAACAAAAAAAAAAAAAACAAAACAAAACGGUUUGUUUUGGAUGGAGGCCAUAGAUUCCAAUAUUUCCUUCACGAAAACUACAAAAAAUUAUCAAAGGCAUCAAUUUCUACACUCUCACCGAGCAAAUACUCUCAACCCAGAAGAAAGUGUAUAAACCAACCCCAAUUAGUCCAUCAAUGUCGUCAACCUCAUACAACACAAAAAAAUAUGUGUCCAUUAAACCGCCAUCUUGCCAUCUCGUUGUAGUAUUUUGCUGUUCAAAUCUAGUUAUUAAUUGGGGAAAAUGGGGACCAAUCUGCAAGUCUUUAAAAUAGAAAGAAACUUUAAUUGAGCACUAUGUUCACAGUGGUGGACCCAGCGGCAGUAAUCUUUAAGGUGGAGCUAUUUAUACUUUAAAAAUUAUUUUAAACACUCUAAUUUUAAUAAGAAUAUGUAUUGCAAAAAUACUUAUCAUAUAAGUUACUGUUAAGGACAAUAUAUUAUAAGUCAACAUUAUAUAAUUACUUUGAACACUUAUAUAGCACAAUCCUUAUUCAAUUUAUUAUUCUCAUGACUUAAAUAUAAAAAAUUUUAUUUUCAACAUCUUAAUUAAUAUGUAGGUGAAUAAUAAGGAAAUUAACUUUGAGAAAAAAAAUUAAAUACAAAAUAUGUGUAAUACUUUUAAAAAAUAAAAUAAAACAACAGUAUUGCACAAGAUUUUUUUUUGGGGGGGGGGGGGGGGGCUUUGGCCAUUCUUCUUCUUCUCCUUCUCUCUCUCUCUUUUUUUUGGGUAGUAUUUAUGGAACAUUUUCUAUAGUUAUGUUCUCAUCGCAAGUUAUUUUGGGUGCAAAAUUCAAUAUUGAAAAUAAAUUAAAUAAAAAAUUAGUAACUAAAAUUAUGUUAAAUUAUUUUUUUACAACUUAAUUUUUAAUUAUAUUAUUGUGAGUAUAUGCUAAAUCUCUUAAAAAUAGAGUGUUGAAUAAUUUUAUUAGUUUUUUAAAUAAAUAAAGCUAAGUAACUUAAAAAGUUUAAGUAAGGAUAUUUUUGAAUUUUAAACAGUGUACAAAGUAAAAUUUAAUUUUUUUUAUAAUUAAGCUACGAGCGUGUAAAUUAAUAGAGUGCUCAAAAUAAUAUUUAGAGUGCUAAUAGUCAUAUCCUAAUAUUUAUCAUCACAUUAUUUUCCAUAAAAAGUUUACAACUACCUCUUUAUUGGAUAAUUUUGUUCCCUCUCUUACCUUAUGUUCCCCUACAUUCUCAUUUCUGCAUCACUAUUUAAAUUGUAAUCAUAACGUUAAUCUUUCGUGUCCUUUCGUUUUUUUCGAGUUUACUUUUGCUUUUUUUUUUUUUUACGUUUCUCCGGAAUUCACUUCAACAUCACUGGCGCGUUUUCUUCUUUCUCACUGCAACAUCAACUGGGCCACCACCUCUUGCCUCAAUAUACGUUGUGAUCUCAUCAUCUUGACAUUAUUUGUUAAAAAUUAUGUCAAAGAGGGAAAGCAUAUUCAAACAUUACUUCAAUUUUCUUUAAGAGCAUAAAAAAAUCGUUAAUAGGCUACUGUUAUUUGUUAGUACGAUUUCACAAAAGGAAGCUAGAGGAAGAUGAAGCUUUCAAGUCAUGUGUGCAUCAAAGUAAGAAACAGAGCUAAUGGGAAAUUUUCAUAAGAGUGCCAAUAUUUCAACUCUUUUUCAAAUGAAGUGAUGUCCUGGAAUAAAGGACUUGACUAGCUUACAGAUUCUGUAAGCUACAGACUGCAGCAUCAGCCGUUGGAUGUGGAGUGAGAAACUAAACAAUAGAAAAUCGGAUGGUGGGAUGACGGGAGAUGUUUGUUACAGAAUCUGUACCAUAGACAGGUCCUGGAAUAAAAUCACUACUCUAUCAUUGCUAUUAGUUUGUCUUGUAAUUCAAUCAUUGCCGACAAGUAUUAAUUGUGAAUAUUAUUAUUUUAAAAAUAUUAUUAUUAUUAUCGUCGUUAUUCUUAACAGCAAUGACUAGAAUUAUAAUAAUAACAAUAACGUUAAUACAAUAAUAUUACAACAUAAUAAUAUUUUAAUUGAGAGGAUAAGAAUGAAAUUAUGAAAUUUAGGUUGGGUAAAAAUGGUGAGUAUGAGGAAAUUAAUUUACCAUUUUUUAAGCUAAACAAUUUAUAAAUUCCACAUAUUUCAUUUUUAUUUCUCUUAUAUUUUAACAAAUAAACACUAUCAAUCGUUUUAAUAUUUUAAUUAAUAAACACGGCAUUAACUACGGAACUAAAAGAUCCCCCCAAAAAAAAAAAAACAGAGACGCGUGUAUGUAUUGCUUGUGACAAAUCUCACCCAUGGAAAACUUUGUGAAAGGCAUUUGAAUGUGUGGCCACAUUUAAUGAACGAAACGUUAACUUUAAAAGAAAGUAUGUACUGUGUUAAUUAUUAGGAUUACCCAAUAACCCGCUUAAUAUCUAUAUAUUAAACAAAAGUUACAUUAAAUAUUUAUACUUUGUCAUACAUAUGUAUGCACAUACAUACAUACAUACAUACAUACAUCCAAACAUACAUACAUAAUUUAUCAAUAUUAUAAAAUAUACAUAUCUACUAAAAUAUUACACACACUAUUGAGGUUUUAAUUAUAUGUAUGUAAAUAAUAUUAUAUAUCAAUAUUAUAAAAUAUACAUGUCUACCAAUAUUUUAUACAUUUACGCUAUUAAAGCUCUAAAUGUAUUUAAAAUUUUAUAAAUAAAAUAUUGUGUCUAUAUUCAUCUUUUUAAAGAAUUAAAAAAAUCAUCUCUAAUAUUUGAGUUUUGAUGACAAGAAUCUGUAAAUUAUUUUAAAAUAGAAAAUAUAAUCGGGUCAUUGAUCGGGUAAAUGGGUCAAGAAUUUUAACCCUAAUCCGACACGAAAAAAAAUCGUGUUGACCCGGACCCGACCCAUUUAAUAAUCGUGUUAAAUUCGAUGACCCAUACUUAUUUAUUGGUGUCAUGUUCGUAUCGAGUAAUCGGAUCGUGUCAAAUUUUACCAGCUCUAACUAUAGUGAUUCCACUUAAAAAUGAAAGGGGAGGCGACGAAAAGGUGAUAAAAAGCGGUAUUGUGUUCUUUUUUUUUUUAAUAUAAAUUUACUGGAAUGAUGAAAUAUUUAAUUGAAUAAUAUUAAAAAAGAGAAAAGGAGAGAGAAUUUUGAGCUCUCUCUACCGAGCCCACUCCCUCUCUUCUUUUUCAACGCAUUUUCUCUCGUCUUUAUCUCUCUUUAGCAUUUUUCUAUUUAAUUACGUGAAAUUGACUCUAAGAUAGACCGACGUUUGCUUUCAUAAUGGAAAGUAGAAAGUCGAAAAGAAACCACCCAUGCCAUGCGUGUGGACCAUUACUCUCAUUUGGAGGCUAUCAUAAGUGAGCAAGUACAAAUUAUGUUACUGUGGGGUCUCACUUAAAUGAACUCAUCCAUCGUGCGCUGGUCCAAUCCUUGGCAACAUCCCAUGUGACUUUUUCGGUUUUCCCCCCACUUUUCUUCACAAGGGUAGUUCCGAAUUUUCACUUCCCCUCAAUUCCAAUUCAGUGGCGAAAUUAGAUUUUCAUUUCAAGUUUUCAACCCAGGGCCAAGCUAUAAUAAUAUACUUCAAUAAUUUGUAUUCGUCGGAAGUUCGGAACCAAUGCUAAACUUUUUUAGUUAUAUAUAUAUAUAUAUAUAUAUUGUAAGAGGCUAAUAUGAACAUUACUAUUGUUAUAAGAGUAUAGAAAACGACGAAUAUUACUUAUUUUUUUUGUAGUUAAUAAGAAUUAUUUAAAAUUAUCCAAGCUCAAAAUUUAGAAUCAUGAGAGUGUGACUUGUAAGUUUCAAAGAAGCAUGUGUAAAUAUAUGCAUUAUCGAUGCCCAAUUAAGGGUGGGCAUUAAGAUCGGGUUAACCCGAACCGAACUUAAAAUUUAUUUUGGAUUCAAUUUGGUUAUGGUUGAAGCUUUCAACUGAGUUCAAAACUUAAAAAUGAUUGGGUUGUAUUUCUGUUCGAAUUUAACCCCAAAAGACUAAUCAAUCCAAUCGAGUUAAGUAAGCAAAUUAAGAAAAAAAAUCCCAAAAAUUAAAACUAACCCUAACUAAAAUAUUCGACGGCGGCCUCCUCGUUUUCUUUUCUUCUUCCUCCUCUCGCUCACCCCUAAUGCCCUUCAUGGAAAUCCAACAGCUCCAAACGCGUUUCAGCCGCUCGCACGUGUGAGAAAUUUUCCUUCUCAUAGGGUUAUUCGUUUCCUUCGUUUGCAUGCUAGCAGAAAAUUCAGGCCGAGGAUUUUUCCGGGCCUAGCCCAACUAUAAGCUCUCCCAAAACCCAAUCAUAAGUUCAAAACGUUUAGCGUUUGCUAUUACUAUAAUUUUUUUAACCAAUUUUCACAUUCAUCAACAUAGGCUGACAGAUUUUGUAGAAAAUAAAAUUAAAUAAAAAUACAAGCUCGCGAAAUUCCUUUGCCGAGCAUGAGUGAAGAAAAAUUAAAAAUAAAUAAUUUCCCAUUAAUUUGCAACAAGUAGUAAUAAAGUAAAUAACUCUUUUCAUCAUUUUGCCAGAGCGAAUGUAUCUACAUAUAAACUAAAGAAGCACAUUUGUUUGUAUUAGCUUUUUUAUUGUAUUUUUAAUAAUAAGUCAUUUGUCAAUGGACUUAUAUCAAUUUUUACGAAAAUAAUAGGUGUUAGUUAGAUUAUUCAAAUGGCAAAACCUCUUGGGAUAGAGCUUGUAAUGUAGUGGCUCAUGAAUUGUCUAAAUUGACACUACCGAAUUAUUGUAUUUGGUUAAAAAAGCUCCUACUCUGCUUCAACUUUAGUAUCCUAUGAUGUUUAUUAAUAAAUAACAAUUUUAUUGAAAAAAAGACCUCUUGAAAUGAUACAAAAGAUUUGGGAUAUGAAUCUCACUCGAAUUUAGCUUGAGGUUGGCAUUGUUAGCAUAAUAUUUGAAGAUAGAUUUUUUUUAAAUUAAAAAUCAAAAGAUUUUUUUUUUUUUGGGGUUCAUACUAGUUAGUUUUAACUCAUAGUGAGAUUUAAACAAAAACGGAAUAAUAAAUCUUGAUAUCCUGACUCAUGGAUAACGUAUAGAUAAGAUAGUAAAAUUUAUUGUGUCGAAAAUAAGAGGUCUGAAGUUUGAAUUUCGCUCACAUAGGUAGUAAGAGAAUCAAAUUAUUGAUAGAUUAAAUUAAUUAAAAAAAUUUCUGAUAUCCAAAACAACAUAUCAACAAAAUUGAAAUAAAAGAAAAUUGAAGAGAAAAACCAUUGAGAGAACGAAAAAUUAACACAAGAAAAUUUCUGUAACUAAUUGUAUCAGUGUGCGCCAACUUCACUUAUUAAAACAUGGUUAUUUCAUUUUCAUGGAUAAUCAUUUUGACACCGGUCAAAUUUAAAAGUUUUAAAAAAUAUGGGCGAUUUUUCUUUCCAGCUAUUCCCAUUAACUAAUAAAAGAACCGUCGAAAGGGUUCGGGGAUAAUAUAGUAAUUUAAACUAACAGUUUCUGUGCUUCAAAUUUAUAUAUAUAUAUAAAGUUGUGAUUACAAGAGGUGAUGUGGCAUCACUAUUUCUCAUCUUCUCAUAUUCUCUAUUAUCUAAUAAAUUGGUUGAAAUUAAAAAAUAAUUACAUUACAAAAUAUUAAAAAUAGAAAAUAAUUAUUAGAUUAUAAAUGAUUACAUGUCUUUUCAUCUUUCUAUUUAAAUUCAACAAUAUGUAACCAUUAAUAAUAAUUAAUUAUAAGUCUUAAAACAUUCAUUUAUUUUAUUAUGCCAACAAUUAAAUUUUAGUGGCUUAAAAUACAUCAAUUAAUUAAUAUAGGAAGGAAGAGAGGUUCUUUCAUCUUCCCUCAAUAAUGCCACUAGGGUCUAAGUUUAAUUUUAAUAAUUUUAAUGUCUCUUCCUCUUUCUAUUUAAAUCCAACAAUGUGUAACCAUUAAUAAUAAUUAAUUAUAAGUCUUUUGAAACAUUCAUUUAUUUUAUUAUGCUAGCAAUUAAACUUUAGUGGCUUAAAAUACAUCAAUUAAUUAACAUAGGAAAAGAGGUUCUUUCAUCUUCCUUCAACAAUCCUAAUUUUAAUGCCAUAAUCCCAUAUUUAAUUAUGCAAUCUUUUAUUUAGUGCUUUUUGACUUCUUCAAAUUUUAUUAUGCUAGCAAUUAAACUUUAGUGGCUUAAAAUACAUUAAUUAAUUAACAUAGGAAGAUAAGUUCUUUUAUCUUCCCUCAACAAUGCCACUAGGGCCUAAUUCUUCUUAUUCUAAAUUUAAAUUUCAUUUGCUUGCUAUCAUCAGCAACACAAGUCAAUUAUGAUGCAACUGCCAUUAUAAUUAAUGGAGAACGACGAGUUAUCUUCUCUGGUGCAGUUCACUAUAUCCUCGCAGCACUCCACAAGUACUACAUGCAAAUAAUUAAUUUACAAUUUCUGAAAUCACUUGCACUUUCACAUUUUCUUCUUCUUUUAACCAAAAAAAAAAAAGGCUACUUUGCUGCGAAAAUAUUAUCUUAAUUUUUUUUCCUAACAAGCCAAACAUGAUCCCACAUUCAAAACGGUGCGCUUUCAUGUUUAGGAAAAAUCAUGGGCAAUAUUUUUGGAUCAAAUAGCAUUGUUAUUUUUUAAAUAUGCAAAUUUUGAUAUGAUUUAUUUCUAUAUGCGUUGUAUUUGUGCAGAUGUGGCCAGAUCUUAUACAGAAGGCAAAGGGUGGACGGCUCGAUGCAAUUGAAACUUAUAUUUUGUGGAAUGCUCAUGAGUCUCAGCGUCGCCAGGUGUCAACUAUUAUUAUUAUUAUUAUGUGCGAUAUUUAUUAUUAUUGAAAUAGACAUACAAAAUUAAUUUAUUUAAUCUUUCUUUUAAGAAGAGAUCAGUACGAUUUCUCAAGAAAUUUAAAUUUUAUCAAAUUUUUAAUUUUUAAUUUGAUAUUUUCAAAGCCGCGCUAAGCGCGGUUAUAUUUUCUAAUCAUCAAAUCAAACUCACACCUCACAAAAGCAGAGAAAUCAAACGGUUUCCGACUUUACGCUUUAAAUUCAGCUUCAUUUCUUCAACUGAAGAAUCGGUCGUCUCUCAUUUUUUAUUUAUUAUAUAAAGAGAAAUAUAUAAAUUUAAAUGGCGAGAAGAGCGGACGAGGAAUACGAUUACUUGUUCAAAGUGGUAUUAAUCGGCGAUUCGGGAGUCGGCAAAUCGAACUUACUCUCCCGAUUUUCUGGUAACGAGUUCUGUUUGGAGUCCAAAUCCACUAUUGGCGUCGAAUUCACCACCCGCACUCUUCAAGUAACUAACUUUUCCUCUUUCACUUCUCUUCAUUUUUAUUAGUUAAUUAAGAUCCAGUUAAUGUAAUUAAUUUUAUUUAAUCUUUUAAUUAAAGUUCUAGAUUAGGCUAACUUAGAUUCAUGUCAAGUUGAAGUGCUUUACUUUCGAUCUCUUUUUCGUCCUAUGUUUAUUUGUACUUACUAUUACUUUGUUUUUGGGUUUAAAUUUUCGUUUUUGAAGUGUUUACUGAAUAAAUUUCUGAGCUUUAUUUGUGUAUGAUAAUUGAUUUGUGAUUUUAAUUUUGUGACUUUUUUUUUUUUGGAAUUUAAAUUUGAAUGCUUUUUAAGUUGAAUCUGAAUGUGUUGGGCUGCAAUUUAAUUAAGUCAUCUGUGAGCGCCAAAUUGUGAUAGCUAUAUAUUGGGGUGAAAAUUUGGGAUUUAAAGUUAUGUAUUUAAGAUGCAGUUAAUUCGCAAGUGAAAAUUAUGGGCCGGCAGAUUUUGUCAUUGGAAGACUGUUCUCCACAUGUUGAAGUUGGAAGACUGUUCUCAUUGAAUUUAUGUUAAAAAGCUAUGCGCGCAUUAAGUUAGUGCGAGAAACUGCUGAAGCAUAUGUCAGCUGUGUGUUUGGAGCUGAGUAUUCUUCAUUCCAAAUUUUUGGUUUUGGUUGACCUCCACCAUGACUCAACCCACUUGAGUUAAAAUCCCUAGAGUUACAUUCUACCCAUGAUAUUUGAGAUCAGGUCACCGUAUUUUAAUACUUCUCUGGAAAACAAAUAAAUAUGUUAAAUCAGGUAGGAAAAAGAAAAAGUUAAUUAUUGAGUUGUAAUGGUGCAACUAAUGUUUUGAAAAGAUGGGGCACAGGUUACAAAAUUUUUUUGAGUUUUGGAUUAAAGGAACAAAAUUAUUGAUGUCUAGCUCACAAUACUUGAAGUCACUCUGUGCUUCAUCAUGUAAAAUGGAUUGAAUUGCUGUAAGAUCAGGUCAAAUUAAAAUGUUUAAACUCAUUUAUAAGAAAUGAAUUCUCAAUUGGACUAGUCUUUCACAGAAACUGAUAUCACAGAAGUUUUGAGUCAGAUGCAUCCAACCAAAGCCCCUGGCCCAAAUGGUCUCCCAGCAGUAUUUUUCCAAAAGCUUUGGAAUUCAGCAAGCAAAGGAGUUAUAGCCACUUGUCUGCAUAUCCUCAAUGAUGGAGGUAAUAUUGCUCCUUUGGAUCAUACAUACAUUGCUUUAAUUCCCAAAAUAGCAAAGCCUAGGACUGUGAUGGAGUAUAGACUAAUCAGCUUAUGUAAUGUAAUUUAUAAGAUCAUUGCAAAGACUAUAGUGAAUAGGGUGAAGCUAAUCUUAGAUCAUGUUAUUUCACCAACUCAAAGUGCUUUCAUGCCAAAUAGGCUCAUAACUAAUAAUAUAAUUAUUGGGUAUGUGUGUCUUUAUAAGAUUCAGCAUUGCAAAAACAAAAAGCAUGGUCUAGUGGCUUUGAAAUUAGACAUUAGCAAAGCAUAUGACAUAGUAGAGUGGGAGUUUGUAAGAUGCACUAUGGAAAGGUUGGGUUUUUCUCACAAAUGGGUGGAACUGGUCAUGAGAUGCAUAUCUGCACCAUCUUUUUCUAUGCUGAUCAAUGGGGUAGCAAAAGGCCUUAUCCAGCCUCAAAGAGGCUUAAGACAAGGCUGCCCACUCUCUCUAUAUUUGUUCAUUAUUUGUGCUGAGGUUUUCACAAAUAUUUUGAAGCAAGUUGAAUUGAACCAGCUGAUUCAUGGAUUAAAAUUCAAUAGGGACCUGCCUAUUACUCAUCUUCUGUUUGCAGAUGAUAGUUUGGUUUUCACAAGAGCCACUAAAGAAGAUUGUACGAACCUGAAGUAACUCUUUGAUUGUUAUGCUGCUGCCUCAGGCCAGAUUUUUAAUUUUGAAAAGUCCUCCAUGUUCUUCAGCGAUAAUCCCAAGCAAGAGCAGAUAGCUACAAUUAAGGAUAUAUUUCAACUUCAAGUGGUUUCAAGACAUGAAAGGUAUCUUGGACUACCUUCAAUGGUGGGAAGAAAUAAGACCAGCUUCUUAAACGAUAUCAAGCUUAGAAUUAUAAACAAAAUCUCCAAUUGGCAAGCAAAAUUUUUCUCAUGUGGAGGGAAGGAGAUACUCAUAAAGGUAGUAGCUCAAGCAGUGCCUGCUUACGCCAUGAGUAUUUUUAAACUUCCUUUAGGGCUAUGUGAGGAUAUACAGAAGGCCAUUGCUGGGUUUUGGUGGAGAAGUUCAAGGAAGCAUAUGUCUAUUCACUGGUCCAAGUGGGAAAGAAUGUGUCAAGCUAAGAAGAGGGUUGGCUUGGGUUUCUGAGACUUGUCUAGUUUCAACCAAGUGCUUGUGGCAAAACAGAGUUGGAGGAUCAUUCAAGCGCCAAAAUCUCUCAUAGCUAAGGUGAUGGAGGCAAGAUAUUUCAAACAUUCGGAUUUUAUGGAGGCACAAAUUGGCUCAAACCCUUCUUAUAUGUGGAGGAGCAUCCUGUGGGGGUGAGAUGUUAUUCAUAAGGGUCUUAGAUGAAGAAUCAGAGAUGGAAAGUAGGUGAAAGUGUAUCAAAGUGACUGGUUACCAAGACCUGUAACGUUCAAACCAAUAUCUCCUACAAGUCUCCCUUUGGAGACUAUGGUUUCAGAGUUGAUUGAUCAAGACCACUACUGGAAAGAUCUUGUAAUAAGACAACAUUUUCAUCAAGAAGAUGCUGCCCAGAUACUUAAGAUCCCUCUGCCAAGACAACCAAGACCAGACCAAGUUUUGUGGCAUUGCGACAAAAAGGGUUACUACUCAGUCAAGAGUGGGUAUCAACUAGCUCUACAAAUGAAGUUUCCAACCAAGCCUAGCAGUUCAUAGGAAGGCAAAAGUGCAUGGAACUCAAUUUGGUAUUUGUCAAUUCCAGAGAAAGUAAAGAUAUUUAUGUGGCUGGCUGCAUAUGACAUGCUGCCCACAGCAGAGAAUUUAUGGAAGAAAAUAAUAUUACAAGCCCCCUGGUGUCAGAGAUGCAGGAGUUAUGGAGAGUCUAUCUUCCACACAUUGUUUGAAAGUAAAGCCUUGCGGAAAAUUUGGAAGCUCACAUCUUUUAAAGAUAAAGUGAAAGCCCCAAAAUGUAAAGAUGUCCUAAGCUUGCUGUUGGCUUUGGCUGAUCGACGAAGCAAGACUGAAAUGGAGCUGAUAGUUGUUUUGUGCUGGAGCAUAUGGCACUCAAGGAAUCUUUUUAUUUUCAAAAGCAGAAAUGAAGAUUCCCAAUUAUCAGUAGUUGGAGCUGAGGCAAUUGUUAAGUCUUAUAAAAGAAUUCAAAUGCCACAGAUGCAAGCAAUAUCAGAUCAAAGUUCUGCAUCCCAGAAGUAUUGGAAGUGUCCCCCUGCAAGUUGGUUCAAGGUGAAUGUUGAUGCAGCUAUAAAGAUAGACCAACAAAGAGUAAGUCUGGGCAUUGUAAUCAAAAAUUCAGAAGGUAAACUUAUAGCAGCAACCUUAAAGCCAACGAAAUGGCUUGAUAAAGUGGAUCUGAAGCAACUAAGUUUGGGCUGGAAGUAGCUGAAAACGCUGGAUGGUUACCUUUGAUUGUUGAGAUUGAUUCACAGGUAGUAGUAGAUUUAGUCUUAGGUAGAAAAAUCACAAAGGCUGAGAUUUUUGGGUUUGUAUCCAAGGUCCAAGAGAUGAUGAAGAGAUUAAAACAUGUCAAGUUACAACACACACCAAGAACUUGUAAUGGUUUUACUCACACACUUGCUAAGUUAGUUUUAGACUAUUUUGAUUAUCUGAUUUUGUACUAUGGGUGAAUAACAUACCAGCCCAUCUUUUGUAUCUAUUCACAAAAUUGAAUGAUUGAAAAUGAUACUUUGAUUUCAAAAAAAAUAAAAUACAAAGAGCUAAUUAUAAAUACAUAAUCCAAGAAAACAGUAAUAAUAAUUUAUCUCGUAAACAAAAUUAAAUAAUAGCAAUAAUAAGUGGAUAAAGCUAAGUUCGAGAGGUGAGAUAGGAAAUUCUCCCGCACGACACAGCACAAACAAACUUUCCCUUUCAUUUUCUUUUCUCUUUCUCGCUAUCCAAACAGAGCAAAAGGACCGUCGCAAGAUUCUUCACUUCCAUCCAAAAUCACGAGCAACGAAUAGCGAGCCUCCCUGUUUCCUUCCUUUUUUUGAUAUUAACAUUGUUAACAUCUGCUCAUUUUCAUUUGACAAUACUUCAAUUUUUUUUUUUUUUGCCUUUUCAUAUUUUUUUGGUUGAAGCGAUUAUCUGUUCAAGCUGUUGCUUAUCGGAGACUCGUCAGUCGGAAAGUCCUGCCUGCUGCUCCGAUUUGCUGUCUGUUGACUUUUCCUUUCCAUUUUUAUUUUCUUUUUUUUUUAUAUUAAUUACUUUCUAUUUUAGCUUUUUGUUCUCUGAAUUUGUGUUAUUAAAAUGAUAAUUUAGAUGAUAAAUAAUUAUUAUUCUUGUAAAUUUCAGUUUUCAUUACAUUAAAUAAUGUAAUUUUUUUUUCAAUUUUUCAGGAUGAUUCUUAUGUCACAGCUACAUCAGUACCAUUGGAGUUGAUUUUGUAAGUCUCUCUUCUAUAUAUAUGUAAUUAUGUGUAUAAGUUAUAAUAUGAGUCUCUGUACGUGUAUGUAUGUAUGUGUAUGCAUAUGUGGAAAGAAAUGUUGGCAGACUUCGGCAUUUUACUUUUUUUUUUUUAAAGGGAAAUUAUCACCGGUAUACCCUUAAAUGUCACCGGUAUCAAACGUACUACAACACUUUUCGCUUAUAUCACUCGUAUACCCUAAGUUGACAAAAGAGUUCUGGCGUCCACCUUUCCGUUUACUACCGUUAAGAACUUAACAGAAUUUGAGCAAAAUGACUAUUUUACCCUUUAAACUAAAAUGAGGUAAAAAAACAAUUUUGCCUUGAAAAUUAAUGUAAAUUUUCAAUACACAAAAUUUUUUUAUUUUGUUAUUAACAAUACAUUUUUUUAUUAAAAAAAUAUGAAUUAUUAAUGGUAUAUAUUAUUAACAAUUAUCCAUAAAAAACUUCAUCUUAUACCAUAAAACAUUAUUAACAACAUAUUAUUUAUAAUUAUACAUAUUAUAACAUAAAAAAUUCAAGUUGGAUCUUGGAGGAGUAGAUCUUUAAUAAUUUAGGUUAAAUUUUGGAGGAGUAGAUUUGGUUGUAAAGUAGUUUUUUUUUUUUAGCAAUUAUUAACAAUUAUCUGAUAAAUGGGAUGACAUGUCAUUUUUAUCAAAAUAUAUCAUAUGACAUGUCGUUUUUUACUAUAUAAAUGGGAUGACAUGUCGUUUUUAAAAAAAGACUAGAUUACCCUUAUGAUGUCAGCGCUCGCAAACGGCAGUUAACGGAUCGGUGGACGGCAGAAGUGUUUUGUCAACUUAGGGUAUACGAGUGACACACUUGAAAAGUGUUGUAGCACGUUUGAUACUGGUGUCAUUUAAGGGUAUAUGACUGAUAAUUUCCCUUUUUUAAAUUUUGGCAGAAAAUAAGAACUGUGGAGCUGGAUGGGAAGACGAUCAAACUGCUGAUUGUGAGUCAAAAUUUCCUUUUAUCUUGUAUUGGGAGAAAUUCAAUUUGUCUUAUUUAGUGAAGGUUAUGUUCAAGAACCUUGCCUUAUUUUCUUUAUUUGAAGAGUGAUAAGUUGAAAUGAGUGUAUUUUUCUUAUAAACAUCAUUUAGGUAAUGUCUGAUGUUUGAUUGUUUUUCAUCUGUUUAGUGGGACGCUGCUGGACAGGAGCGAUUCAGGACUAUAACUAGCAGUUAUUACCGAGGAGCCCAUGGAAUCAUAGUAAGAAGCCUUCCUGCUUCUUGGUUUAAAUCAGAAAGUUUGUGAUUUACAUGUGACAUCUUAACAACGUUGUAUGUGUUUAUUAACUUAUUUUUCAUCUUUCAUUACGCAGUACAUUUUCCAAUAAAUCUGUAUACAAGAUGAUGUAGUCCAAGAAUGGGAGUGAUAAUAUGAUGCAAAUUGUCUAAUAAAUUCUUAUGACAUAUGAUGUUGUCGGAAGUAAAAGUCUUGCAAUGCUGUAUUCUCUUUUAAGAAAGAAUAAGUGGUAAUUUUGUUUUUCCAAUUUUUUAAUUGAGCAACUGUGUGAGAUUAAUUAAAUGUGUUGGGAUUUCAACAGAUUGUCUAUGAUGUAACGGAGAUGGAGAGCUUCAAUAAUGUCGAGCAGUGGUUGAAUAAGAUUGACAGAUACGCUAAUGACAGUGUAUGCAAGCUUCUAGUUGGGAACAAAUGCGAUUUAGUUGAGAACAAGGUUGUGGACACAUAGACAGCCAAGGUAUGUUCGUGAGUUCUGUCGCCUGAACUUUGAAUAUAAUUUUAAACUCUUCUCAAGUGCAUUUGCUUGAUAAGUUUCUGCAUACCCAGGACACUUAAACUUUGGACAGUCUGUAUCUCGAGCUGGAAUCUUUUUUGUCAAUACGACUUGUUAAAAUAAGGGUUAUUAUCGUUUGAAUCCUUCAAGAAUUGCAAUAAAUCUAAAGUCAAUUAAAAAUAUGAUUUCAUCAUUUUACUGUUAUAUCUAGACAAAAUCCAUUAUUUUACUACAUUUUAUUAGCACCGAUAGUUGACCUAUUGGCUGACUGAUAAAAUAUCAAUUUUGUACUUUAUAUUAAUUCUUUUUUGGUUAGAAAAUAACACACAAAGUAUUACAAUAUUAUAAAUUCAAAAUAGAAAGUAGUUACAAAUAAUUCCUAUUAGCCUAUGAAUAUAAUAUUUGAUACCUCUAUUUGUGUAAUUUUUUUUAAAGGGUGAAAUUGGUAUUUUCUUUGUACUAACGGAAAUGUAGUAAAAUGAUAAGUUUUGUAAAGAUAUAGUAGUAAAAUGAUAGACUAAAAUACUUCUGUAGUUGUUUGAUAUAUUGUAAUUCUUAAAGUAGUCAAUUGAUAAUAUCUCCUAAAAUAAGUGUUUGUAAUAUUUUCUCAUUUUAAUGCAACUGAUUGUUUAAUAAAAUUGUAUUUCUUUGUUAAUCUUUUAUCAUGUGCAUGCUCAGUGAGAAUUUGACUUACUAGCACACAAGUUUGACUCUUCAUGUAAAUGUCCCUUGUAUCAUAUCCUUCAGUGUUGAGUGUGUUUCCAAUAAAACUGAGUAGGGGAAUCCUUAAAUACCUUUUCCCUUUUUCCAAGGGCCGUGCCAAAUUGCUCUAAGUGAUUAUCAAUGGAUAAUGAAAAUAAAAUUUUUAUUAAAGCAAUUUUUUCCUUAAAUGGUGGCUAAUAGUACCCCUUUUUUGGAAAAGAAAGUCAAAACAUGCCCAAAGAGAAUCAUUUACUUUCCUCUAAUGUAUUUUCUAAUUUGUUUCGAGCCUUGAAUGUUAACCUCUGUAAUUCAAUUUGAAACUUGCCACCCUUAGUGCUUCACUCAAAUGGUUGGUUAGGGUGAGAUCUUUAUCAUUUUCCUGGUCUCUUUCCAAGGUUAUCUAAAGGGAUUUGGCAGUCUGAUUCUUUAGGGAAUAUCAUUGCAUAAGAUAUUGUUUGUCAAUGAAUAAUUUCUAUUAAUUAGUUAUCUAUAUAAAUUGGUAAAUUUUAACUGCAUAAUUUGCAUGCAAUAAGAUUUUAUAAGAAUCUUGUUUUCAACUCAUGACUUAGACUAAUGUGAUAUGUUGAGCAUUAAGCUACAAGAUCUGCACAUCAAAGUGCUUCACGAUGUUAAGGAGAAAGCAUCUUUUUCUGCUUCUUCAUGUGAUUUAAAGUUUCCAAGGUACUUAUCCUAUAAAAUAUCUUUCAAGACUUUGGAAAUGCUUUUAUGUAUGACUGAGAGAAACUUGUUGGGUUGGUUUUUAGCAACGGACGGAGUUAUGGACUUUGUGCUGACUUGUUAUUGAUUAAGACAGUACAUCGGCUGAUCUAUUGGCAUCAAGCAGCAGAUGCAGAAAUUAUGGGUGGCAUAUCAUUGUAUCUAAGAAUAUUUAUCUCCGAGUGAAAUGCAGGCAUUUGCAGAUGAACUGUGGAUUCUUUUUCUGGAGACGAGUGCCAAAGAUGCAAUCAAUGUGGAGCAGGCUUUCUUGACCAUGGCUGGCGAGAUUAAGAAAAAGUAAAAUCACUUGACUCUUUCCUUCUUGCCUUGUGAUUGAUUCUGUGAUCCAUUGCCUAUUUGCAAAUGCUGACUGUUCUUAUUCAACAAUCACCAUUAUUGCUGGUUAUAUGCACGGUGAUGAAAAUUCUGCAAUGAGUAACUUUUUACCUAAUGUUUUCUGUUGGAACAAAUUACUCUGGUAGAAAAGCCCUACAGGGUUUGAGAAAACCCAUGAUGUGACGAUUGUGAGCAUUUUAGACACCGUGUAUGGGUUUAUUUAUGACUAUAAAAUGGUAAGAUUGUUUCUAGUUUUGGUUUGUAGUUCAUAAAAGGAUUCAAAAUUUGACAUCUGUCUAAAUCAGAUUAAUAACAUGAUAAUGUACAUAUGCAAGAUGUGAGGAAUUGUUUUAACUCACCCCUAAACUUUAAGAAAUUGAAACAUUAUCAUUCAAAAUAUUUAACAUUUCCAGAAUUGAUAGUUGUCUAUUUGAGCAGUGACUGGUGGUUAUCAUGAACUGAUGUGUGGUUGUGGUGUCAAAUCUUGGUGAAACCUGUUGUCAUCUGCCGGUUAACAUAAUAAUUUCUUGAUUCACUAAAUAUGAGUUCAAAUUUGAUGCAGAAUGGGCAACCAGCCUACUGCAAACAAAUCUUCUGGAACAGUUCAGAUGAAGGGACAGCCAAUCCAGCAAAACAGCAACUGCUGUGGUUAGCCGAGCAUCUUAUUUUACUUCUACAUGUUAGCUGACUGAUUGUAGACAGUUUUAACUAUGUUGACUGCAUUAUCUUAUGAAUCUUUUAAUCUGUCAGAUUUAUUUCCUGCUUUAAGUUCUUUCCGUUUAUAACAAAUUUAAUUUCAUGCUUCAUUGCAUUCCAAAUUCCUGUCAAUUUACGAGGGAAAAAGAAAAGAGAGACGAGAUCGGAGAAAAUGGUCAAAUUUGUUAGGGGGAGAGAGCUGUUCAAGUAGUUUUUAUUCUUGUUUAUUGUCGUGACCCUCUUGUAGCUUGUCUAUGACCUGGAAGUCCGGUCAUAUCGGAUGGGUAAAGUUACCAAAACGGCAUCAUUUUGGGUGAAAUAUCAUAUUUAUGUAACACUUUUGAUAAUAUUUUUGUGCAACAAAAAAAUGUUCGCGGUACCCUUUUCACAUUGUGUAGCGCAUGAUCGGAUGAGAGCAGUCUGGAUUGUGGCAUCACAAGCUAAUGCUUUGAUUUGCUUAGUUUGUUUUUUGUUUCUGAUUUUUUCUUGGCAUUGGGUGGCAUAUUAUUUCUCUUUUGAGUUUUCCUUUUUUUUUUUUUUUUUUUGUUAUGGAAUCUAGAGAUAGUGUACAUGUAUGAAGAUGACGUAAUAAAGUUAUUUGAUAAUCUCAAAAAAAAAAAUUCACUCUAAUAAAUCUCGUAGCAAGCACAUGGUUUAUAUUGCAAGUCUUUUCGAAACUAAUUCAAAGAGAAAAUAUAAUUGAUCUUUACUUGUCAUAAAGAAUUCUAAAUAAAUUCAUAUACGCAUCGCAGCUAAUUAGAGCCUCUAUACUUACAUUUGGUUUUUGUUACUUUUUUGUAGAGUUGUGCUGUGCAUAAAAGUUUUGUUAAAUGAAAUCGGUGGGUGAAGAGAAUUUUCAGAAGCAUACAUCAAAGUAAUGAUCAAUAUAAAUAUUGAUUGUCUCAAGUUAGAUUAUACAAAGAUGAAAUAAUGCUAAUCUAGUAAAUUCAAUCAUAAUAAUUUGACUUCCAUUAUAUUAAUUAUGUCCAAUCGUGCUACUUUAAUAAAGAACCCUCGAGCAUUUAUAUGUAUACAACAAACAAAAUUAAUUACAAAACGAUCUUUGACAAAGUCUGACCGGUCAACUAUCCACCAAAUUUUGUAAUAUGUUACCGUUGAACUCUCAUAUCAAAUAUGGAUAGACAGCGCUUUGGCUAACAGUGAAAUAUAUACGAGCAUAAGAGCUCCGUUCUCUGUUUUGAUGGUGUUUCUCUUUGUGGUUGUUGGACAAAUUGUAAUGUGAAUUUCUAUUUAAUGGGUAUCAUAAUACUUUUAGUUACUUUGGGAUUGUUGAUUUAUAUAUGACCUUCAGUAUCCAAAAUUCAGAUAAUGAUAACCUUUAGUACUCUUGUCAUAUUACCUUUCGUGUUGGUGUUAAUAUCUUAAUUAUGUACCCAAUGGUAAGGACAAUAUAUAACUAAUUUGAAACUUCUAUAAUUUUAUAUAUAUAGAUGCAAAUUCAUUUUUAAGAGUGCAUUUAAUCAAGCAGUCCAUGCGUUUAUACUGAGUAAUUGGUUCAAUAUUAAUACAAAACUAUUUUAAGUAACAUGUGGCAUAUUCUAAUUCCAGCGAGCUUCCAACUCAUAUUCCCAAUUUAAAAGAAAAGUUUUCAAUUUUCUCCAGAAUGUUCUACAAAACGUUUCUUCUAGUCUCUACACUGUGCUAGAAUUUUCUCUAAGUUUCUUUUGCAAAGACUUUUAAAGAACUAUCCAGAUACUGAGCUAUAAUCCAGUCUAAGCGUAUAUAUCUCUCUAUAUUUCACCUCCCUCCAUUUCACUAGAAGAUCAACAAACACUUAGCUUCGAAACAAACACUCUCAAAAAGCUAGCUUAGCUACCCAGAUGGCGAAAUCAAGAAUUCUUGCAAUGACAAUGUCGUUUCUUGUUAUGGCUGCAACAUUGAUUAUCAUGGCAUCACAAGCAAACACUAUGAUGUCGUACACACAAUCACCUUUCUUUGACGUGAUGUUUGCAAUGACAGAAGAUCCUUUCAGGGUUCUUGAACAAACCCCUCUAACAAUCCCAAAAAGAGCUGAUCAGCAUCAAACUCUAGCCCUGGCGAGAGCAGACUUGAUGGAGCACCAACAGCACACGUGAUCGCGCUCGACAUUCCAGGGAUGAAGAAAGAUGAAGUGAAGAUUGAAGUUGAAGAGAACAAGGUACUCAGAGUGAGUGGGGAGAGGAAGAGUGAUGAUUAUUAUAAGGAGGGAGUUGAAGGAGAGAAACGGCACAGAGCUGAGAGCACAUUUGGCAAGUUUUAGAGGCAGUUCAGGAUGCCUAUGAGUGCUGACUUGGAACAUGUUAAGGCUUAUUUGGAAAAUGGUGUUCUGAGGAUCACAGUGCCAAAGUUUGCUGAGGAGAAGAGGAGGCAGCCUAAGGUUAUUAGCAUUAAUGAAGAGCUCGCAGGUAAUUCUUUCGGUGAAGAUAUUAAGGCCACCAAGGCCCAAAUGUGAUUGAUUAAAGAAAAAAGUGCUUGCUUCGCUUGAUAUGCUAUUUAUCAAAAACUCCUUUUACCAUCCAUUUGAACAUACAUAAACACGCCCAAUUUGAAAGAAAAAAAAGUAGUAAUUAUAAAAUAUUUCAAUCGUCUACUGUUCAGCCACCAAAAACCAAUUUACCAUCCAUUUCAACGCCUAAUUUGAAAAAAGAAAAUACUAAUAAUAAAAUAUUCCAAUUGUCCAUCCUUUCACAAAUCAAAAAUAUCACCAAAAACCAAUUAACCAACUAUUUCAACAUAAGGUAUAUGGGUUAACAAGUCCCAAUAUUGUCCUCCAUCCUUUCUGCACUUCUCUCCUAUCAACGGACAUCCCUGGAUCCAUAAUUGCAAAAGUGAGUAAGGCAGGCCCUUCUUCGGAAAGUAUUUGAGCUUGCGACAAUGAUAGAGGUGCAAUUCAGUGAGGUUUUGAAGAUCAACAACCGAAGAAGAUAGGCGUUCCAGAUUUGGAAAUUUAGAAAUGCUCAGAGAUGUUAGAGAGGCAGGAAGAGGAAGCGCGGUCCCUAAUCUUUUGUCCUCUAGUGGAAAUGACACCAUGUCGUCAUCGCAUCCGCUGAUUGUAAGAUGUCGUAGAGAAGAGAAUCUGUGAAAUCCCCGGCCCCGCUCAAUCAUUGACUUCCAAAUCUCCAUAUUACCCUGAAUAUGAAGUGAAUGAAGGUUGGUGGGAAGGCCAUCUUCUUCAAGGCUUGGAAGCUCACCUCCUAUUGUUAAUUGUUGAAGAGAGGUCAGAUUGUACAAUCCCUUGGGUAAGGCCUCUAGUCUCUUACAAUCAAAUAUCGUCAGCCUCGUGAGUUUCGCACAAGGCAAUCCCCCUUCGGGAAAGGACACCAGAUUUCCACACCUCUUUAUCCAUAUCUCUUGAAGCUGGCGGAGAUUAUGUAAACCACUCGGUAAAAUUUUCAGAUUUUCACAACGAGAAAUGUCGAUUUCUUCAAGAGAUGUGUUGUUGUCCAAUCUUUCUGCUAUUGACUCCAGCUUUGAACAUCCAUAAACACGAAGGGACUUAAGAGACGGAGGUAGAUUGCCAACUUCAAGGGACUCAAGCGUGGCAGGUAACUCGUUUUUUGAAAAUAUACAUGUCAGUGAUGGACAAUGCCAAAUUUCUAAGUGCUCAAGAAGAGAUGAGGUGUACCUUCUGCUGCUGCUGCUACUGUGGAUGCCCUCUUCCACUGUCAAAGUCCUUAUAUUAUCGCAGCGGCUGAUCUCUAACUUCUUAAGUCUCGAUGGUAGCUGGACAACAGCAAUAUAUGUCAACGAUCGGCAACCCUCAAUAUUCAAGAUCUCGAGAGACGAAUUGGUGUCGCACAUCCAUGCCUCUGGUAACGAUUUCAGUGCAUCACAAUGCCUAAUCUGAAUUUUCUUCAACUUGGAAGGCAGAGCAACCUCAGGAAAGGAAACAAGGGAACUGCAGCCUUGGAUUUCUAUAUCUCUCAAGGAACUGAGGCUGAACGAUGAUUGUGGCAGCUUCACAAGGCCUUCGCAAUUACUCAAUCUUAGAUAUUCAAGUCUGCAUGACAACUCGCAGAGCUGCUGUUGUUGGUCUUUCUCUUCCUCCGCAACCAAGGAUUGAAGUUUGGGACAACUUGUAAUCGCCAGUCUUUUGAGAGAGCAAAUGUCUUGCAGUAAUUGGUUAUGGCUCUUCCAUAUACAUGUUUCAUUUUGAAUAUUAUUUAUCUCCAAUUCUUCCAGUUUUGGUAUUCGCGGCUUCAAUGGCCCUGCGAGAAACACUUCAUUUGAUGUAUCUCUACAAACCACUGAAUUCUGUGAGCCGAGAUGAUCAGUUGCACUUCUCCACACAACCUUUUUACAUCCACCAAUUUCCAUUUUGCAAAGAGCUGGAAGACUCGUAACUGACACUGACAAUUCUUCACAUUCUCCAAUAACAAGCAUCUCCAAUGCAGGAAGGCAUUCUGGCACUGUUCCCCGCAGUUUAGAACAUCUUGAAAUGCGAAGCUCUCUCAAUUUAGGAAACCCUUCAACUCCCUGACCAGAUCUAAGAGGAAUCCAGUCUUCCCAUUCUUGCAUGUCUACAAAACGAAGACUUUCCAAGCAUGGAAAAGGAAUCAGGGAAUCAUUCCCAUAGAACUCUGAACCCAAACUCUUUACUCUACUCAUUCCACGCACUUCAAGAUGCUUUAGAGAGGGUAGUUGCCCGACUGAUGGCAGGGUAGUACACAUGCCACAAACUUCAAAAGUUAAGGUCGCCAAAUUUGAGAAUGAGGAAUCUCCCAACCAAGUUGGAAAUUCUUUACCUCCAUAGCCACUGAUACAAAAUUGUUCCAGAUUUUCAUGAGGUUUUAGCAUGUCGACCACAUCCUUUUCAGUUUCUGCCUCCCUUGAAGGCAAACCAUUGGUACUCCGUGUCCAUCGAAAGGUUAACACUUUAAGAUUCUUCUUUCCAUCCAAUUGAGCCUCCUUCGCAUCACCAAUGUCUUUUACGUUCUCUAAUUUUGAAAUGUUAAGUGGCCCACGAAGAUGCGUCAACAAUUUUAGCUCUCGUAUCCCGGAACCACUGUCUUUUCCCACAACAAAAUUACACAGCGUUUGAAGGCAAGUCAACUUACCAAUUCCUAGUGGCAUCUCCUCCAAUGAAUCUGUAUUUGAAUUAUUGAGAUGAUGCAAUUUGAUGAGAUUUCCCAUGUCUGUACACAACUUCUUCAGUCGCCGACAGCCCUCCAACAGAAAGGUGUGCAAAUUGUAAAGCUUGUUGACUGAUUCGGGUAGAGUUAUAAUGCCAGUUCCCGAUAAGUUAAGGUACCUUAAAUACCUCAAAUCACCAAUUGAAUCCGUUAGCUCAUAGAUGCAAUAUCCACGCAAAGAGAAGACCCUCAACCGUUGGAGUUUGAACAACUUAGGAAGAAUGCUACGAGCCAAGAAUCCACGCGAACUAUUUGACAAUGUUACUGGUAAAAAAGUUCGCAAAUGGUGGAUAUCAUGCAAGUCCUCAAACCUUUGAACGCGAUCACAAUAUCCACGAAUGUAUGACAGGUGACGAAGAUUUUUGGAAAAACUUUGUUGCUUGUUAACCUCUGAGUUAUACUCCAUUGUGAAGUACAUCUCCCCAGCGGCCCAAUGGGCAAGUUCGUUGACAAGGUCGUGCAUCACAAAUCGUGAUUUGUUGUUGCUUGAUUGCUGGAAAAAAGAUCUUGAACGUAGCUCUUGAAAGAACUUUCGACCUAGAUCUUCAUUAGGAUUCCCACUCUCUUUGUGAUCCAAGAAACCCGAAGCAUACCAUAAUAAAAUUAUCUCCUCCUCUUCAAAUUCAUAAUCCUUUGGAAACAAUGAGCAGUAUGCAAAGCAUUGUUUCAAAGGUGCCGAAAGAUAAUAGUAGCUCACUCUAAGCGCCGGUAUAAUGUCACAUCUCUCUUCGGGUAAAUUCCAUAUCAUGCAACUGAGCACACCUUCCCAAUCACUCCCGCCAAGUUUACCACGCAAGAGUCCACCAAGAGUUUUCGCAGCUAAGGGCAAGCCGUUGCAUUUGAUCACUAUCUUCUUGCCAAUUUCCUCCAAUGACUUGUUUGAACUGAAAUCUCUUGUCCCCAAAGAGUGUUGAGCGAACACAGACAGACAAUCAUCAUUUGACAACUUUUUCAAUUGAUAAGCCGGAGCAGUCCCCAUGAUGGCUGCAACCCCUUGAUUACGAGUUGUGACAAUAAUCUUACUUCCCGGUGCGCCAGCUUCAAAUGGAGGUCUGAGUCGAUCCCAACCAUUGUAAUUCUCAUUCCAAACGUCAUCUAAAACAAGCAAAAAUUUCUUUUGAGAUAACUUCUUCUUCAGCUCCUCUUGAAGCAAAUUUAAAUCACUAUCAUCAGUAGUCUGCUUAGUAAUGGAUCUUAGAAUUGUUUUUGUUAGCCUGAUAACAUCAAAAUCAUCAGAGACACAAGUCCAUGCCUUGAGAUCAAAAUGACCCUGCACUCGAGCAUCAUUAUAGACAAGCUGAGCGAGAGUGGUUUUACCCAGCCCGCCCAUGCCUAUGAUAGGAAUAACAGAGAAUUCACCAUCAUUUCUCAAAUCAUCCCUCAACAACAAUUCAACAAUUUCUUUCUUUUCUGCUUCCCUGCCAAAUACCUUGGCUUCAUUCACCAAAGAGGUUGUGGGUAGUCUUUGCCUGUCUUUUUUGGACCCCCCAGUUGAACUUUCUUUCAAAUCUAGCAAGUCUUUCUGUGUCACAAUUUCUUGAAAUCUGCCGUUGAUCUCUUUGAUUUUGGACAUCAAGGCAUAAUCGAAAUGAAUCGAUUGUGGAGUAAAAGUGGUGCAGCAAGUAGGAAUGAGCUUCCGAAACUUACUUGUUCUUGUACGACUGCUACUGGGUUGAUCCUGAGCCGCAGCUGGAUCUCCAUUUCCAAGCAGCAACCUCCUCCGGAAAGCCUCAGUUUGAAACUCAUCCAACAAGUCUUCAACAUCAUAAGCGAAGUUCUGAAGCUUGCCAAGCCACUUCUUCACAAACUGAUUAGUCGUCUUCUUCUCCUCAGCAUCAUCAAGUACCGCCUUGAUCAUCUCCAACAUAUUCGCCCACUUCAUCAGAUCGGCCUGGAUUUGCUCUUGGCGUGCAAAAAACAGAAUCCCCUCUGAAGCUAACUUAUUGACCAGCAAAUCAACGGACGCCGUAAGGAUUGCCUCUCCGAUGAUUGACAUUUUUUUUUUGUUUUGCAAAGAAAGAAACAGAAUUUUGAGUUUUGAAAAGCAAAAUGAGAAAAUUGAACAAUAAGUGUGGAGGGUCAAGCAAAAUGCGCGUAACAAGUCUUCCGCUUCUUGUUUAUUCCAGGAAAGUGCAAAUAAAAACAGAGCCCACCACCCAUUAAUAAUUGAGCAAUUCACCAAUCACGAGUCGCCACCACUCGUUACCAUGAAUAUAAUAAAUUGCACCUCCAUAUUUGCAGGGUCCAGCAACAUUGACCCAGUGUCCGGGUAAAUGCUGAAUAACGAGGAAAAUGGAAUGUAUCCGCUACGAAGCUUCGCUUUACAGGUCUUCAAACUCAUAAACCAAGAUAAAUCAAAACGUUUAUCUCUCUCUCUCUCUUUUUGCCAUAUAAUUACUUUAUUUAUUGAAUUAAUUUCCAUGCUAAAAGGAAGACUUAAAAGUGCACUACAAUUUUUUAUAAUCACAAUGGUAAUUUCUACUAUCAUGUUAUUUUAACGUCGUGUUAAAAUAAAUUAUUACAAUUUUUUUUUUUAUGAACACUCUUUUCAUUUAUAAAAUUUUUAAUUUUUAAUAUUUUUCUCACUCUUUUAGUCUUAAUAUUUGUAUUUCUCUCUUCAAACUUUCUUUAUUAUUUAAUUUUUAAAAAAAUAUGAAAAAAAGUAAGAAAAAUAUUAUACUUAAAAGAUAGUGAAUAUUUUAUGGGUCUAAUACAAGCCUGUAUUGUUUUUGACAAUGAAAGAGCACGCGAAAAAUCUCACUCAUAGAAAACUUUGUGAAAGGCAUUUGAAUGUGUGGCCACAUUUUCCGAACGAAACGAUAAGGCUUUAGCCUUAUAAUUGCAAUUAGUUUGUCUUGUAACUAAAUUAUUGCCGACAAACACCAUCAUGCUGACAAACCGUGCAUGCACGUCCUCAAUCACCCCAUAUUUCCCAUUACUUCCCGUACUUUAUGCGUUAUUGUUUUGUAUGUUUUUUGGUGUUUUCGGUGUAGUUAGGGAUCGUAGCGGGUAGCGUCUGGUACGGGUUUGACAUCACCAAACCCGCAUCUACAAAAAAUUUUAAUUACGUAAUUCAAAUUAUAAAUUUAUAAACAUUGCCUAAAAAAACCACAUAAAAUACUUAAUUCUACAUUUUAUCAAUAUAAAUGAGAAAUGAAAAUAUCAACAUUAAAACAAAUACACAAAAUAUAUCAAUUUAACAUUAAUUCUUAAAUUCAAUUACCAAAUAAAUAAGUCUAUCACAACUCGAAGUGCUUUUAAUUUAAAAAGAAAAAAGAGAAAGAGAAAAAACAAAGAACUACAAAUCAAAGUAGCACUCAGACCUAUUUUAUAGGCUCAUUCGACACUAAGAUCUUAGAAUUAAGAUCUUCAAUUCAUUCAUUACCACUAGCACCCAUUCAACGUGGUUUUUCUAAGCAAAAUAUAAAGUACAAAAUUACAAUAAGCAUAUGAUACUCCAUGCUUUAAGUUAAAGGUCCUUAUAUAAUUUUAUGAAUAAUGUUUUAGUGAAAUUUUAUGAUUAAAGUUAAAAAUACACAAAUAUUAAAAUAAGAAUGUUGGAUACCUGUGCAACUAUUUGCCAAAUUUUUUCUCUAUAAAAAUUCACUUGCAACUUGCAGCAGGUUUAAAUUUAUAAUAUCAAACUUGAUUGUAGCUCGCAAAAUUUUUAGAUCUGCGAUAAUUUUGCCACCCUAAGUGUAGUUAGUAUUGUAUAUCGUGUGUUUCCAAUUGGCUCUUAUAAAAAGCCUAGAAGUUGUUUGAAUAAUGAGGGAGACAAAUAUUUCCCAAAGAUAUUAUCUUUUUCAAAUUUUUUUUCUUUUCUCUAUUAUUGUAACUUCAAAUCCUUAAAAAUUACAUAUUACAGAUAUGAACACAAUGUUUUGACAUAGUGCCUUUUGGCUUGUCUAGAGAAAUUUAGGAUAGAUUUUGAUGUACGAAGGCUCUGUUUACUAUUGAGAUUUUGAAACUUUUGAGCCACACUUGAAAUUUGUUUAAUUCUAAUAGAGUUGUAGCCUUCGAUAUGUGAUUGGUAUUAAUCAAGUGUUAUGUUUACAGCAGUUAAAGGCAUAUUGAAUCAAAGUCCACUUUUGAUUGAGAUUUUAAAGUAGGUUUUUAAUUUGAUAGCCACUCAAGUUCAAAUAUUGGAACCACAGUGCACCUUUCACUUGCUAGGCUUUAACCAAACAGACGACGUUAUACCAACUUCUAUCCAAUAAGGCAAUGAAAACAAAAGCAAGUGAAUUAAAAAUAAAUAAUUUCUCAUUAAUUUGCAACAAGUAUUAAUAAAGUGCAUGAGAAAAUAUGUCUUUUUUUAAAUGAAAAUAAAUGUGUUAAUUAGUCAAUUUAAAUGGUACGAUGUUUUGAAAUGAUAGAAGCGAUCUGGAGUUUAAAUCUUACUCUUGACGUAAUAUUUAAUAACGAAUUUGAAGAACAAUUAAAAAUUAAAAGAAAAGAAAAAAAUGCUUUCUUUUUUAACGAUGGUAAUUUGUUCAGACGAUGAAAAUUCUUAGAGUGGUAUAAUAAGUAUUUUUGAGUGUUGCCAUCGCGAAUAAUAUUUAAUUUCCUUUAUAUAGUUAUAUCUCAAGUAACAUUUGAACAGAAGCAAGUUGGAAAUUAAAAAAAAGAAUGAACCAUUGAGAGAAUGAAAAACAAACAAAAAAAAAGUUAAAAAAAUUGUAUCUCAAUAAAUUUACUUGAGAGCUACUCUAUUGAUCUGUGAAGAGAAAACACAAAGAAUAAUGAUGAAUAUCAAUUAAUAGGACAAUUUUUGUAUUUUUCGUUUAUUCAAGAAUCACGAAACUUCAUUUAAACUUGUUAUUUCAUUGAUAAUAUUAAUAUAUUAAUAUUGAACAAUUAAUGUAGGAGACAUUCCUUUCCAAUUAUGCCCAUAUAUUAAUUAAAGAUCACCCAAAAGUUCAGGGAUACUAUAGUAAUUUAAGUCAACAAUUUCUGCGCUUGAAAUCAGCCGAUCAAACUCACUUUAGAAUAAACUGAGAAAUCAAAAUCACAUUCUCCGAUUCUACGAUUUCAAUUCAUCUUAUUUCUUCAACUGAAGAAUUGGUUGUAUCUCGUUUUAUUUUAUUUUUAUUUUUAUAUUAAGAUAAAUAUAAAAUAUAAAUGACGAGGAGACUGUAAAUGUAAAAACAAAAGAAGAGCACAAGUUUUAUUGAAAAUGACUCUUUUCAUCAUUUUGGCGGAGUGAACGUAUCUACAUAUAAACUAAAGAAGCACAUUUGUUUGUAUUAACUUUUUUAUUAUAUUUUUAAUAAUAAGUCAUUUUUCAAUGAACUUAUAUCAAUUUUUACGAAAAUAAUAGGUGUUAGUUAGUUGAUUCAAAUGGCAAAACCUCUUGGAUAGAGCUUGUAAUUUAUUGGCUCAUGAAUUGUCUAAAUUGACACUACCGAAGCCAAAUUAUUAUAUUUGGUUAAAAAAGCUCCUGCUGAGCUUCAACUUUAUUAUUCUAUGAUGUUUAUUAAUAAAUAACAAUUUUAUUAAAAAAAAGAUCUCUUGAAAUGAUACAAAAGAUUUGGGAUCUGAAUCUCACUCGAAUUUAGCUUGAGGUUGGCAUUGUUAGCAUAAUAUUUGAAGAUAGAUUUUUUUAAAAUUAAAAAUCAAAAGAUUUUUUUUUCUGGUUCACACUAGUUAGUUUUUACUCAUAAUGAGAUUAAAACAAAAGCGGAAUAAUAAAUCUUAACAUCCUGACUCAUGGAUAACAUCUAGAUAAGAUAGUAAAAUCUAUUAUGUCCAAAAUAAGAGGUAUGAAGUUUGAAUUUCGCUCACAUAGGUAGUAAGAGAAUCAAAUUAUUGUUAGAUUAAAUUAAUUAAAAAAAUUAUCUGAUAUCCAAAACAGCGUGUCAACAAAAUUGAAAUAAAAGAAAAUUGAAGAGAAAAACCAUUGAGAGAACGAAAAAUUAACACAAGAUAAAUUCGAUAACUAAUUGUAUCAGUGUGCGCUAACUUCACUUAUUAAAACUUGGUUAUUUCAUUUUCAUUGAUAAUCAUUUUGACAACGAUUUUUCUUUCCAGCUAUGCCCGUGAACUAAUAAGAGAACUGCCGAAAGGGUUCGGGGAUAAUAUAGUAAUUUAAAUUAACAUUUUCUGUGCUUCAAAUCAUCAAAUCAAACUCACACUUCGCAACAACAGAGAAAUCAAACUCACGGUUUCUCUCAUUUUUAAUUUGUUAUAUAAAGAUAAAUAUAUAAAUUUAAAUGGCGAGAAGACCGGACGAGAAAUACGAUUACUUGUUCAAAGUGGUAUUAAUCUAAAAAUAAUAAUAUUAAAUAAAACACCUGUAACUUUAAGACAUACAUAUUCUCAAAGCACAAGUGGACCCGAGAGGCUGGGAGUCGUAAUGGAAAGAAGAAUACAAUAUAUGAAACUUAUAACGUUAUUUUUACUAUAUUAUAUUGAUACUUUGUUUUGUUAAUCAUAUAAGUCAAUCAAUAAUUGUCUAAUCAUUGGAAUUAAAACUAAUGUAUUAAUUAAAAUUCACAAUCUAUUAUAAAAAUAGUAAAUAUUAAUACAAAGAGAUGGACCUAUUACAAAAUAAAUUCACCAAAAGUUCUAUUAUACUUAAAAUUCUCAUUCAAAAAAAAAUAAUAGUUGAAUACAUGUACAAAAAAAGGGGAUAAAUAAAAAAUAAUAAUAAUAAAUAAUAAAAGGAUAGUUUAUAUAAUAAAAAAUAAAUUUAUUGAAUAGGGAUGUUAAUAAUAAAGAAUAAUAGCCGAUCAAACUCACUUUAGAAUAAACUGAGAAAUCAAAAUCACAUUCUCCGAUUCUACGAUUGACUCUUUUUCAUCAUUUUACUGGAGUGAAUGUAGCUACAUGUAUUGGGGACCAUAAUGGAAACUGGUAGAAACUACAAGGGCUAAAAUCAGAACAACGAACGAUAUCUCAAGGUCGCCAAAACGUAAAUAAUUAAUCUUAUCUUUCAAUUGAUUUUUUUGUGGAGACAGAGACAAACCCGAACAGCAAAUAGCCAUAACUGAUAGGACAACUAAGUUGGAACACUCCGCAGACCCACGAUUUAAUAUCUUUAGAUUGUAACGGUUUAACCCCCAAAAAAAAAAAUUAGCAAAAUAUUUCUUAAAAAAAUGAAAAAAAAAAUGUUGAAAAGAAGAACAAAAUUGUGGUCCACGUGUCAUUUCAGAAUAGGUUGCUGGCAUAAACAACCGGCCCCAUCCCGGACAGAUGUUAUUUGAGUGGUUGGUACGCGUUUCUACUUUUUUGUUUUAGACAUAUAUAGGUAAUCCCUAUCUUAUAUAUAUAGGUAAUCCCUAUCUUAUAUGCAUAUAAGAUACAUAAUGUUAUUAGUUUAAAUAAUGGGUGCAACUCAUGUUUUUGAAACAUUAAGAUCUUUAGCCAUUCUCUUACCAUCCCAUGGUUAUUUAAGUUACAAGAGACAGUAAAAAAACGUCAUAUUUUAAUUACUUACACUAAUAAAUAACUUACUCACACUAAUGCCGCGACUACCGCUUGCUUUUUUUCUUUUUUUUGCCCUUUUGUUUUUGACUUUUUGACUUUUGCUUUUGGUUUAUAAUAAUAAUAAUAAUAAUAAUAAUAAUAAUAAUAACUACUUUUUAAUUUAAUAUAAUAUAAUAUUAAAUAAUAUUUUUAAUUUUAAUUUUACAUUAUAAUUAUUAAUAUAUAAUUUAUUAUUCAAUAUUAUUAUAUUAUGUUUUUUAUUUUUACAUUAUAAUUUAUUAAUAAAUUUAUAAUUUAUUAUAACUAAUAAUAAAUAUUUAAAUAUGAAUAAAUAUGAAUAAUAUUAAUUUAAAAUUAAUAAUAAUAUAAAAUAUUAAUACAAUUUAAAUAUAUUAAUAUAAUAUAAUAUAAUAUUUAAUUUGAAUUAAUCACAAAAAAUUAAUACAGUACAGUGUAGCACCAAAUAUUGUACAUUAUUAUUAUAAUACAAUGUUAAUGCAACGCAACAUAAUACAAUACACCAGCAUUAAAAUAAUACAAUCUAGCAUAAUACACUACAGUGUGCGAAAUACACCGACAUAGAAUUACUUUGUUUGUCUUGUUAUUUACAAUUAUUUAAUCUGUAGACCCACUCAUGCUCCUUCUAUGUAACAUAGAUACAAUUUGAGGAAGAUUAUCAAUUUUUUCUGAUAAAAAAUAAUAUAUACCACUUACUCUUUAUUGUUUUUAUAAUGUUCAACAAUCCGCUUGAGAUAAAAAAAAUUAAAUGAAAAAGAGUAAAUAGAUGAUUUGUUUGAUGUUAUAUCUUAGAAAUAUAAAAUAUAUAUUUAUUAUUAAAAAUAUUUAAAAAUAAUAAAGAGUACAUAAAAAAUAUCUUAUCCUCAACAACAAGAUCAGACGACGUCAAUUCAGCAAAAUGACUCGAACAAUCUGAAAGUCCAGCGUCACCUCUUGGGACACAUCUGGCAACCUGUGUAGCUUUGGCGAGAGGUCUCCCAAAAGGACGAUUAAGGAAAGAUUGCAAGACGGAAUCAUGAAAAUAGUAGUACUGAGUCCAUCACAGUCAAGUCUUAGAAAUCACAUCCCUGUAUUAAUUUCCAGAAAAAUGUUUGUUCCAUAUUAGCCGUACACGUAUAUAUUCUAUAUAUUGGGAAUAGAAAGAGCAUAUGUAGAAAAUUCUUCAUUCAUCAAUUAAAACUUAACUUAUGUACGAGGGUUAAGUGCAGAGUUUUUAAAUUUGAAAGGGAUAAGUAUUAUAGUCCAUUUCAAUUUAGAUACAAGUACUUCGAACUUGUAUUUGAGGUAAAAUCUGUAUACCAUAGUACAUAUUAUAUAUCCAGUCAUGGGAUCCAUGCAUGGUUCCAUGUAAUUCGCAGAGUUGAACUGGAGACACUGAUUAGUUCGUUGUCUACUUACCAACUAUGUACUACUAAGUAAUUUUUUUUUUUUUUUUAUGGUUCAAAAGCAUAUUGUCAAACCACAAUCAGAAGCAACUUAAGUUUUGAUUACGGUUCACCAGAAGUCACAGCUAGCAAGUGAUCCUUGCAUCAUUUUGCUAAACAUACAAUGAAAUUAACCCUUGUAAUUUCGGCCUUUGCCAUAGUCGUUUUGUUUAUUAGGUUUAUGUUUAUCAACAUGAUAUAUUGUCAACCAUAAUCACAAUCAAGUUGUUAAUUAUUUUUUAAAUAAUGCGAAGGUACAAGAUUUUGGUCUUUGAGUGUGGAGUUAAAAAUAUCUCACCUCAACAUUAUUUGUUAAAAAUUAUGUCAAAGAGGAAAGCAGAUUCAAACAUUACUUCAAUUUUCUUUAAGAGCAUCAAAAAAUCGUUAAUAGGCUACUGUUAUUUGUUAGUACGAUUUCACAAAAGGAAGCUGGGGGAAGAUGAAGCUUUCAAGUCAUGUAUGCAUCAAAGUAAGAAAGAGCUAACAAGAGAUAGACAAGUAUUAACCAUCGUUAUCAGAAAUUAAAUAUGUCAGCAUUUUGUCAGUUCUGGCCAUAUUUUGAAAGAUUGGAACUAUUAGCACCCUAAUUUUCUUUUGAAGCUCCUUUUCUGUGGAAACCUAUUUUAAUUUCCAAAAUAUCUUUUUUCCAUUCUUUUAGUUUCUUUCUGAUUCAAAAAAAAAAUCAGUUUCUUAAACAACUCCAACUAUAAAUAUUUUUUUACAAAUUUUUGAAUUGUUAAAUCAUGUGUGUGUAUAAAUUGAAUAGAAUUAAAAGUGAACUCAAAUGGCUAUUAUGUAAUUUUUUUUUUUAUAAUUAAAGAAAAGUUUAGAAUGCAAAAGUGCGUGUGAGAAAACAAAAAAUAUAAAUCGCCUUUGAUGUAGUUGUAUGGCUGUAAAGAGUUAAAUGGAGAAAUAUAGUAUAUAGUUAAAUUUAUUUUGUUCUUUAAAACGGGUAGGUUUUAUAAGAAUUGUUUAGAGGACUACCAAUAUUUGAACUCUUUUUCAAAUGAAGUGAUGUCCAAGAAUAAAAUCACUACUCUAUCAUUGCUAUUAGUUUGUCUUGUAAUUCAAUCACUGCCGACAAGUAUUAAUUGUGAAUAUUAUUAUUUUAAAAAUAUUAUUAUUAUUAUCGUCGUUAUUCUUAACAGCAAUGACUAGAAUUAUAAUAAUAACAAUAACGUUAUACCAUAAUAUAACAACACAAUAAUAUUUUAAUUGAGAAUAAGAAUGAAAUUAUGAAAUUUAGGUUGGGUAAAAUUGAUGAGUGAAGAAAUUAAAUUACCAUUCUUUAAGCUAAAUAGUUCAUAAAUUCCACAUAUUUUAUUCUUAUUUUUCUUAUAUUUUAACAAGUAAAUAUUAUUAAUUAUUUUAAUAUUUUAAUUAAUAAACACGAGAUUAACUACAGAACCAAAAGAUCCCAAAAAAAAAAGGGGAGACGCGUGUAUGUAUUGCUUGUGACAAGUCUCACCCAUGGAAAACUUUGUGAAAGGCAUUUGAAUGUGUGGCCACAUUUAAUGAACGAAACGAUAACUUUAAAAGAAAGUAUGUAAUGUGUUGAUUAUUAGGCUUUAGCAUGGUGAUUGCAAUUAGUUUGUCUUUUAAUUAAAUUAUUGCCUACAAACACUAUCACGACCCACGUCCGCUACUUGUGUGAAUGUGUGAAUAAAUAUCCGCAGCAUAUUAUCAAACCUGAAGCGUGAUCAUCUUUAAGUUUUGGUUACAGUUCAUCAGACGUUAAAAAAAAAACUCCACAUAUUGUUGGUUAGCUAAUUCUUGCAGCUAGCAAGUGAUCAUUUUCUUUCCCCUACUGCCGUAGCAUCAAAUCCUUGCACUUACAUAUCAAGUGGUAUUCGAGCCGUCAAAUGAUCCAUGGAAACACGCAACAAAUCAAAUGCUGAAUUUUGCGAAGAGAUUCACGAAAUCCUUGCUAUACAUGAGUCUAGUUUUGACCAAGUUCACGUCACCCAUCAGCUGCGGGUUUGAAUGGUACCUAGUGGAUAGUUUGUGAGUUCCCACUAAUAAAAUCACACUUGCAACAAAACUUAAAAAUUUAAAUUACGUAAUUCAAAUUAUAAAUUUGUAAUCGUAGCCUAAAAAAUCACAUAAAAUACUUAAUUCUAGAUUUUAUCAAUGUAAAUGAGAAAUGAAAGUUUUAACAUUAAAAUAAAUACACAAAAUAUAUCAAUUUAACAUAAAUUCUCAAAUUUAAUUACUAAAUACAUAAGUCUAUCGCAACUCAAAGUGUAGCACCAAAUAUUAUACAUUAUUAUUAUAAUAAAGUGCUAAUGCAACGCAACAUAAUACAAUACACCAGUAUUAAAAUAAUACAAUCUAACAUAAUACAAUACAGUGUGCGAAAUGAACCGAAAUGGUAUUACUUUGUUUGUCUUGUUAUUUACAAUUAUUUAAUCUGUAGACCCACUCAUGCUCCUUCUAUGUAACAUCGAUACAAAUUGAGAAAUUUUAUCAUUUUUUUCUGGGAAAAAAUAAUAUAUACCACUUACUCUUUAUUGUUUUUAUAAUGUUCAACAAUCCACUUGAGAUAAAAAAAAUUAAAUGAAAAGAAGGAGUAAAUAGAUGAUUUGCUCGAUGUUGUAUCUUAGAAAUAUAAAAUAUAUAUUUAUUAUUAAAAAUAUUUAAAAAUAAUAGAGACUUCAUAAAAAAUAUCUUAUCCUCAACAACAAGAUCAGACGACGUCAAUUCAGCAAAAUGACUUGAACAAUUUGAAAGUCCAGCGACGGUCACCUCUUGGCACACAUACGGCAACGUGUGUAGCUUUGGCAAGAGGUCUCCCAAAAGGACGAUUAAGGAAAGAUUGCAAGACAAAAUCAUGAAAAUAGUAGUACAGAUAUGCAAUGGCUAAAUUGUCCUCGAUUGAGUCAAUCGCAAUCAAGUCUUAGAAAUCGCACCCCUGUAUUAAUUUCCAGAAAUAUGUUUGUUCCAUAUUUAUCGUGCACGUAUACAUUGUAUGUAUUGGGAAUAGAAAGAGUGUAUGUAAAAAAUUCUUCAUUCAUCGAUUAAAACUUAACUUAUGUACGAGAGUUAAGUGCAGCGUUUUUAAAUUUAAAAAGGACAAGUGGUUAGAGCUCCCACAAAUGUAUUGUAGAAGUUUAAUUUAAAUUUUUCUUCCUUAAAACUUAAGUGAAGACAGUUUUUCUCCUAAAAGUAGAGUUUUUCUAGGAGUUUGACGUCCCUCAAAUAUUUGAGAGGGUUAAAAUCUGAGCAAUACUAUAUAAGAUGUAAUGUAAACUGAUCUCAAUAAUUAUAUAAUUGUAAAUAUCAUGAGCAACAAUCUCAUUAAAAAAAAAGCAGAACAAGUGUCGUAAGUGUUGGAGAAAAAUUAGGUUUUUAAAUUUUUUAUAAAACCUUUUGAAGAUCUCUCUCAUAUAAUAUAUAAGAAUACGUAAUCUAGAAAUCGUAUCUUGAAAAUCCGAUUUGGCUUUUUUCGUUGAAGUGAUUUAGGCUCCUUGAUCACGAUCUUCCAUCACCACUCCUGUUAGAUCACGAUCCGUCACCACCACACUUGUUAGAUCACGAACUGUCACCAAUGAUCUUCCAGGUUAUGACUCAGGUUUGAUCUGCACUUGACGUGUGGGCGCCUUUAUCACUACUAAAGCAACUAGCACGAGAAAAUUUUUCUCUCAACAAUAGAGAGAAAAAUAUUUUUCUCUGAUCUGUAUAAAGUGGCUGCUCUCUUUUUCUUUUUAGAAAAUAAGCCUUUUUUAUAUCACUCUUUAGUGAAAACCCUAGACUCCAAAUAAUCAAAAAACAAAACUCACGUUAUUUGUUUUUUCUAUAGGAGACCCACCUUGUAAAAUAACAUAAGGCCCCUUACACAAAAGCUAAUUAAAUGGAGCCUCCCACUAAAUGAUAUAUUUAGGCUUUUGACCCAAAUAGCUAGUUAUCUUACUUAUUAGUCUAGUAGUGGUGCAGUCAAUUAAAUGAGCUAACCCAGGGAUCAUUUGGGAACAUACAAUAGUAGCUACAAUAAUUAGGCCUGUAAUUAAACUAGCCCAAUUAUUUACUUCCAAAUCUACUCCACUAAAAGAUUGGAACUGACUUCCAUAAUUGUAUGCUCGAAUAAUAAUUCGUCCCAAGCCACAUUGAUUUCUUUACUGCACAAUCCUUUGUACCACAUCGUUAAUUAAAUUGAUAUCUCAACUGUCCAAUCAAUUUAAUAACAUCUUAUUCCUUGAUCCUUACUGGUUUUCUCUAAUGAUCAUUUUCAACAUACUAAAUAUGUUGACACACUCUGGCCAGAGAAUUCUAUGAUCAAGUGCCGAAAACCCAUCAAGAGAUGUGUUGUACAAAUUCUAUAUUGUUAAUCCAUAACUCCAAUACUCAUAAUUGCUCCCACUAAGAUACCGGGUAAUCUUGACCACAAGGAUGUGUCUGCCCAUUGGUAAUUCAAAUGGAAUAACAAUUACAAUCAUGAAAUCAUAAUUAACUCAAGAUUAAGAUUACAGUAAAAUCAAUGCCUAUGAGAUUUAAUAAGUUUGACAGUUAUUACAAAGUUAAUUAAAUCUCAUAUGUGAUCCUGUUCAAUAUAGUCAUACUACAUCAAUAAAUUCAUACAUGAAUAAGACAAAUCAUUCAAUGAAUUUAUUACAGUCUAUACCUAAAUAAAGUGCCCAAUUUUAUUUAUCAACUGCGAACUAAAUUUAUUUAAUCAUAAGAUAACUUGUAUUUAUGUUUUCUGUGAAUCCACAUGGUGAUCACAUAAAUACAUCUAAUAUGAUUAAAUGGAUUUUAAUACAAAUAUUAAUGCAAUUAAGAUAUUUGAAUAAAAUACCUUAUUUAUUUUAUUAAUCAGAAAAAUUAUUUAUUACAAUUAAAUAAACACAUAUGCUUUUAAAGAGCAUAUUUUCCCAACAAUAAGCCCAUUUAAAUAAACUAAUAUUUGAAGGGGAAAUCUCUGUAUACCAUAGUAUAUAUUAUACAUCCAGUCAUGGGACCCAUACAUGGAUGGUUCCAUGUAAUUCGCAGAGUUGAACUAGAGACACUGAUUAGUUUGUUGUCUACUUACCAACUUAUGUACAACUAAGUAAUUGCAUGCUCCAUUUGCGACUUAUCUGUCCACCCUGCUUGCAUUGCAUUAACUACGUCCCCAAUCACCCACGUCCGCUACUUGUGUGAACGUGUACAUAAAUACAUAUAUCCGCAGCAUAUUAUCAAACCAGAAUCAGAAGCAACUUAAGUUUUGAUUACGGUUCACCAGAAGUCACAGUUAGCAAGUGAUCCUUGCAUCAUUUUACUAAACAUACAAUGAAAUCAACCCUUGUAAUUUCGGCCUUUGCCAUAGUCGUUUUGUUCAUUAGGUUUAUGUUUAUCAACAUGAUAUAUUGUCAACCAUAAUCGCAAUCAAGUUGUUAAUUAUUUUUUAAAUAAUGUGAAGGAACAAGAUUUUGGCCUUUGAGUGUGGGGUUAAAAAUAUCUCACCUCAAUAUACGGUGUUGUGCUCUCAUCAUCGUACUAUUAUUUGUUAAAAGUAUGUCAAAGAGGAAAGCAGAUUCUGUUGGGAAAAUAUGCUCUUUAAAAGCAUAUGUGUUUAUUUAAUUGUAAUAAACAGUUUUUCUGAUUAAUAAAAUAAAUGAGGUAUUUUAUUCAAAUAUCUUAAUUGCAUUAAUAUUUGUAUUAAAGUCCAUUUAAUCAUAUUAUAUGUAUUUAUGUGAUCACCAUGUGGAUUCACAGAAGACAUAAAUACAAGUUAUCUUAUGAUUAAAUAAAUUUAGUUCGCAGUUGAUAAAUAAAGUUGGGCACUUUAUUUAGGUAUAGACUGUAAUAAAUUCAUUGAAUGAUUUGUCUUAAUCAUGUAUGAAUUUAUUGAUGUAGUACGACUACAUUGAACAGGAUCACAUAUGAGAUUUAAUUAACUUUGUAAUAACUGUCAGACUUAUUAAAUCUCAUAGGCGUUGAUUUUACUGUAAUCUUAAUCUUGAGUUAAUUAUGAUUUCAUGAUUGUGAUUGUUAUUUCAUUUGAGUUACCAAUGGGCACGACACAUCCUUGUGGUCAAGAUUACCCGGUAUCUUGGUGGGAGCAAUUAUGAGUAUUGGAGUUAUGGAUUAACAAUAUAGAAUUUGUACAACACAUCUCUUGAUAGGUUUUCGGUACUUGAUCAUAGAAUUCUCUGGCCAGAGUGUGUCAACAUAUUUAGUAUGUUGAAAAUGAUCAUUAGAGAAAACCAGUAAGGAUCAAGGAAUAAGAUGUUAUUAAAUUGAUUGGACAGUUGAGAUAUCAAUUUAAUUAACGAUGUGGUACAAAGGAUUGUGCAGUAAAGAAAUCAAUGUGGCUUGGGACGAAUUAUUAUUCGAGCAUACAAUUAUGGAAGUCAGUUCCAAUCUUUUAGUGGAGUAGAUUUGGAAUUAAAUAAUUGGGCUAGUUUAAUUACAGGCCUAAUUAUUGUAGCCACUAUUGUAUGUUCCCAAAUGAUCCCCGGGUUAGCUCAUUUAAUUGACUGCACCACUACUGGACUAAUAAGUAAGAUAACUAGCUAUUUGGGUCAAAAGCCUAAAUAUAUCAUUUAGUGGGAGGCUCCAUUUAAUUAGCUUUUGUAUAAGGGGCCUUAUGUUAUUUUACAAGGUGGGUCCCUUAUUGAAAAAGCAAAUAACGUGGGUUUUGUUUUUUGGAUUAUUUGGAGCCUAGGGUUUUCACUAAAGGAAGAUAUAUAAGGUUUAUUUUCUCUAAAGGAAAAGUGAGAAGCCACUUUAUACAAAUCAGAGAAUAAGAUUUUUCUCUCCAUUAUUGAGAGAAAGAUUUUCUCGUGCUAGUUGCUUUGGUAGUGAUAAAGGCGCCCACACGUCAGGUGCAGAUCGAACCUGAGUCAUAACCUGGAAGAUCAUUGGUGACAGUUCGUGAUCUAACAAGCGUGGUGGUGACGGAUCGUGAUCUAACAAGAGUGGUGGUGGCGGAUCGUGAUCUAGGAGCCUAAAUCACUUCAGCGGAAAAAGCCAACUCGGAUUUUCAAGGUACGAUUUCUAGAAUACGAAUUCUUAUAUAUUAUAUGAGAGCGAUCUUCAAAAGGUUUUAUAAAAAUUUAAAAACCUGAUUUUUCCCCAACAGAUUCAAACAUUACUUCAAUUUUAUUUAAGAGAAUAAAAAAAUCGUUAAUAGGCUACUGUUAUUUGUUAGUACGAUUUCACAAAAAAAUCAGUUUCUUAAACAACUCCAACUACAAUUUUUUUUAACAAAUUUUUGAAUUAUUAAAUCAUAUGUUUGUGUAUAAAUUGAAUAGAAUUAAAAGUGGACGCAAAUGGCUAUUAUGUAAUUUUUUUAUAAUUAAAGAAAAGUUUAGAAUGUAAAAGUGUGUAUGAGAAAACAAAAAAUAUAAAUCACCUUUGAUGUAGUUGUAUGAUUGUAAAGAGUUAGAUGGAGAAAUAUAAUAUAUAAUUAAAUUUAUUUUGUUCCUUAAAACGGGUAGAUUUUAUAAGAAUUUUCCAGAGGAGUGCCAAUAUUUCAACUUUUUUUCAAAUGAAUUGAUGUCCUGGAAUAAAAUCACUACUCUAUCAUUGCUAUUAGUUUGUCUUGUAUUUCAAUAAUUGCCGACAAGUAUUAAUUGUGAAUAUUAUUAUUUUAAAAAUUUAUUAUUAUUAUCGUCGUUAUUCUUAACAGCAAUGACUAGAAUUUUAAUAAGAACAAUAACGUUAAUACAAUAAUAUAACAACAUAAUAAUAUUUUAAUUGGGAGAAUAAGAAUGAAAUUAUGAAAUUUAGGUUGGGUAAAAAUGAUGAGUAUCAGGAAAUUAAAUUACCAUUUUUUAAGCUAAACAAUUCAUAAAUUCCACGUAUUUCAUUCUUAUUUCUCUUAUAUUUUAACAAGUAAACAUUAUCAAUAGUUUUAAUAUUUUAAUUAAUAAACACGGUGUUAACUACGGAACUAAAAGAUCCAAAAAAAAAAAAAACCAGAGACGCGUGUAUGUAUUGCUUGUGACAAAUCUCACCCAUGGAAAACUUUGUGAAAGGCAUUUGAAUGUGAGGCCACAUUUAAUGAACGAAACGAUAACUUUAAAAGAGAGUAUGUACUGUGUUAAUUAUUAGGCUUUAGCUUAAUGAUUGCAAUUAGUUUGUCUUGUAAUUAAAUUAUUGCCGACAAACACUAUCACGACCCACGUCCGCUACUUGUGUGAACGUGUGUAUAAAUAUCCACAGCAUACUAUCAAACCUGAAGCGUGAUCAUCUUUAAGUUUUGGUUAGGGUUCAUCAGACGUUGGAAGAUAUCUUUCCUAAUUUGAAGAAGAUGGAAACUCCUUAUCCAGGUUCUUAGGCCAUGUUCAGUUGAAUGUCAUUUAUAAUUUUUAUUUUAACAUUAUGUAUUUAUGAAUACAAUUAUUGUUAUGAUUUUUUCAGGUAAGAAUGGAUGGUCUGAGGGUAACCCAAUAACUAUGUACAGUAUUAUUAAUGAAAAGAGAGCGUGAGUGACAAUUUGGAUUUUAUUAUCGUCCCUCAAUACGGAAGAAAUCUUGACCAUAGCGGUUAAGUGCUAUGUAACUCUUUCGUAUUAUGUUUAAUUAAUAAUAAAAUGAUGGGUUAUUAUUACCUGUCAAUUAUGUGAGGAGUGUCUUUAUUUGGUUUACUUCCACUUAUAAAAUCUCUUGAGAUAUAUAAGAGAUUUUCUUUAUUUAAUUUUGUGUACCGUGUCUUCUUGUAAAAAGAAAUUAAUAAAAAAAAUCAUUGUUUGCAAUGUAUUAACUAAGUUAGUGUAUUCAUGUUAGGUUAAUUGUGCUCUCUCUUCUUGAUAUUUUAAAAAAAAAAAAAAAUCCACAUAUUGUUGGUUAGCUAAUUCUUGCAGCUAGCAAGUGAUCCUUUUCUUUCCCCUACUGCCGUAGCAUCAAAUCCUUACAAUUACAUAUCAAGUGGUAUUCGAGCCGUCAAAUGAUCCAUGGAAACACGCAACAAAUCAAAUGCUGAAUUUUGCGAAGAGAUUCACGAAAUCCUUGCUAUACAUGAGUCUAGUUUUGACCAAGUUUACGUCACCCAUCAGCUGCGGGUUUGAAUGGUACCUAGUGGAUAUUUUGUGAGUUCCCACUAAUAAAAUCACACUUGCAACAAAACUUAAAAAUUUAAAUUACGUAAUUCAAAUUAUAAAUUUGUAAUCGUAGCCUAAAAAAUCACAUCAAGUACUUAAUUCUAGAUUUUAUCAAUGUAAAUGAGAAAUGAAAGUUUUAGCAUUAAAAUAAAUACACAAAAUAUAUCAAUUUAACACAAAUUUUCAAAUUUAAUUACUAAAUACAUAAGUCUAUCACAACUCAAAGUGCUUUCAAUUGAACACGAAAAAAGAGAAAGAGAAAAAAAAUAAAGAACUACAAAUCAAAGUAGCAUCCAUGACCCAUUUUGCAGUCUCAUUCAAUACCACUAGUACCCAUCCAACACGAUUUAUCUAAACAAAGUAUAAAGUGCAAAAUUACAAUAAGCAUAUCAUACUCCAUGCUUUAAGUUAAAGAUCCUUAUAUAUUUUUAUGAAUAAUUUUUUGAUGAAAUUUUAUGAUUAAAAUUAAAAAUACAAACAUUCAAAUGAGAAUGUCGGACACUUGCGCAACUAUUUACCAAAUUUUUUCUCUAUAAAAAUCGACCUGCAACUUUCAAUAGGUUUAAAUUUAUAAUAUCAAACUUGAUUGCAGCUCGCAAAAAUUAUCUGUUGCGGCCAAGACUUUGGAUUUACGAUGAUUUUGCCACCCUAAGUGUAGUUAGUAUUGUAUCUCAUGUGGCUCUUAUAAAAAGCCUAGAAGUUGUUUGAAUAACGAGGGAGACACAUAUCUCCCACAGAUUUUUUCUUUUUCAAAGUAUUAUGUUUUCUCUAUUAUUGUAACUUCGAAUCCUUAUAAAUUAUAGAUUGGAGACAUGAACACAAUGUUUUGACAUAGUGGACUUUUGACUUGUCCAGAGAAAUUUAGGAUAGAUUUUUACGCACUAAGGCUCUAUUUACUAUUGAGGUUUUAGAACUUUUAAGCCACACUAGAAAUUUGUAUUGUUUUGAUAGAGUUGUAGUCUUUGAUAUGUGAUUGGUAUUAAUCAAGUGUUAUGUUUACAAUAGUUAAAGGCAUAUUGAAUCAAAAUCCACUUCUAAGGGCUUGAUUGAGUGAUUGUAAAGUAGGUUUUUAGUUUGCUAGCCACUCAAGUUCAAAUAUUAGAACCACAGAGCUUUAUAGCCAAGUGAGAGAACUUGUGCCCUAAAAAUUGAGGGGUGCAUAUCAAGUUUUACCACCAAUAAAAGUUGGUGUUAAAACUUUAAUUUCCCUCUUAUUGAUGGAUAUGGGUAAUUAGGAGUUUACAUCCCCUCCUAUUAAUAGACAGGGGUUAUUAGGAAUAUUAAAAAAAAGUUUAAAUAUUGAAAAUAUAGGUAUGAGUUAUAAAAUUCAUAAUAUAAAGAAAAAAAAUCAAGAUAAAGAUUUAAAAAUUUAGAACCAUGAGAGCGUGACUUGUAAGUUUCAAAGAAGCAUGUGCAAAUAUAUGCAUUAUCGAUGCCCAAUUAAGGGUGGGCAUUAAGAUCGGGUUAACCCGAACCGAAUCGAACUUAAAAUUUAUUUUCUCACAAAUGGGUGGUUUGUGCGGGGGAUUCACUGGCUUUUGUUUGCAUUGCCUUAUUGGAUAAAGUCGAGCAUGAGUGAAGAAAAAUUAAAAAUAAAAAAUUUCCCAUUAAUUUGCAACAAGUAUUAUUAAAGUGCAUGAGAAAAGCCACCAGGAUAUGUCUUUUUUUAAAUGAAAAUAAAUGCGUUAAUUAGUCAAUUUAAAUGGUAAGACAUUUUGAAAUGACAGAAGCGAUCUAAAGUUUAAAUCUUACUCACACUUAAUUUAGGGUUGGGGAUUAAUUGACGUACGAUAUAAUAACGAAUUCGAAAGACAAUUAAAAAUUAAAAGAAAAUAAAAAAGUACUUUCUUUUUUAUGAUGAUAAUUUGUUUAGAUGAUGAAAACUCUUAGAGUGGUGUUAUCAGUACAUAGUUUCGAGCGUUGCCAACGUGAAUAAUAUUUAAUUUCCUUUAUAUAGUUAUAUCUGAACUAACAUUUUAACAGAAAUAAGUUGUAAAAAAAAAAAAAGGAACCAUUGAGAUUUGAGAGAACGAAAAACGAAUAAAAAAAAAAAAGUUAAAAAAUUAGAUCUCAAUAAAUUUACUUGAGAACUACUUUACUGAUUAGUGAAGAGAAAACACAAAGAAUAAUGAUGAAUAUCAAUUAAUAGGUCAGUUUUUGUAUUUUUCGUUUAUUCAAGAAUCAUGAAACUUCAUUGGAGACAUUCCUUUCCAAUUAUGCCCAUAUAUUAAUUAAAGACCACCAAAAAGUUCAGGGAUACUAUAGUAAUUUAAGUCAACAAUUUCUGUGCUUGAAAUCAGCCGAUUGAACUCACUUUAGAAUAAACUGAUAAAUCAAAAUCACAUUCUCCGAUUCUCCGAUUUCAUGCAAUUCAUCUUAUUUCUUCAACUGAAGAAUGGAUUGUAUCUCGUUUUAUUUUAUUUUUAUUUUUAUAUAAAGAUAAAUAUAAAAUAUAAAUGACGAGGAGACUGUAAAAGUAAAAUCAAAAGAACAACACGAGUUUUAUUGAAAAUGAAUCUUUUCAUCAUUUUGUUGGAGUGGAUGUGUCUACAUAAAAACUAAAGAAGCACAUUUGUUUGUAUUAACUUUUUUUUUAUUGUAUUUUUAAUAAUAAGUCAUUUGUCAAUGACCUUAUAUCAAUUUUUACGAAAAUAAUAGGUGUGUGUUAGUUUAUUCAAAUGGCAAAACCUCUUGGGAUAGAGCUUGUAAUUUAGUGGCUCACGAUUUGUCUAAAUUGACACUACCGAAUUAUUGUAUUUGGUUAAAAAAGCUCCUACUCUGCUUUAACUUUAUUAUCCUAUGAUGUUUAUUAAUAAAUAACAAUUUUAUUGAAAAAAAGACCUCUUGAAAUGAUACAAAAGAUUUGUGAUAUGAAUCUCACUCGAAUUUAGCUUGAGGUUGGCAUUGUUAGCAUAAUAUUUGAAGAUAGAUUUUUUUAAUUAAAAAUCAAAAGAUUUUUUUUUUUUGGGGUUCAUACUAGUUAGUUUUAACUCAUAGUGAGAUUUAAACAAAAAUGGAAUAAUAAAUCUUGAUAUCCUGACUCAUGGAUAACGUAUAGAUAAGAUAGUAAAAUUUAUUGUGUCGAAAAUAAGAGGUUUGAAGUUUGAAUUUCGCUUACAUAGAUAGUAAGAGAAUCAAAUUAUUGAUAGAUUAAAUUAAUUAAAAAAUUUUCUGAUAUCCAAAACAACAUAUCAACAAAAUUGAAAUAAAAGAAAAUUGAAGAGGAAAACCAUUGAGUUUGUGAGAACGAAAAAUUAACACAAGAAAAUUUCGAUCGCUAAUUGUAUCAGCGUGCGCCAACUUCACUUAUUAAAACAUGGCUAUUUCAUUUUCAUGGAUAAUCAAUUUGACACCGGUCAAAUUUAAAAGUUUUAAAAACUAUGGGCGAUUUGUCUUUCCAGCUAUGCCCAUUAACUAAUAAGAGAACCGCCGAAAGGGUUCGGGGAUAAUAUAGUAAUUUAAACCAACUGUGCUUCAAAUCAUCAAAUCAAACUCACACCUCACAAAAGCAGAGAAAUCAAACGGUUUCCGACUCUACGCUUUAAAUUCAGCUUCAUUUCUUCAACUGAAGAAUCGGUCGUCUCUCAUUUUUUAUUUAUUAUAUAAAGAAUCGGUCACUCUUCAAGUAACUAACUUUUCCUCUUUCACUUCUCUUCAUUUUUAUUAGUUAAUUAAGAUCCAGUUAAUGUAAUUAAUUUUAUUUAAUCUUUUAAAUAAAGUUCUAGAUUAGGCUAACUUAGAUUCAUGUGAAGUUGAAGUGAUUUACUUUCGAUCUCUUUUUCGUCCUAUGUUUAUUUGUACUUACUAUUACUUUUUUUUUUUGGGUUUAAAUUUUCGUUUUUGAAGUGUUUACUGAUUAAAUUUCUGAGCUUUAUUUGUGUAUGAUGAUUGAUUUGUGAUUUUAAUUUGUGACUUUUUUUUUUGGAAUUUAAAUUUGAAUGCUUUUUAAGUUGAAUUGAAUUGCUGUAUGAUCAGGUCAAAUUAAAAUGUUUAAGCUCAUUUUUAAGAAACGAAUUCUCAAUUGGACCAGCCUUUCACAGAAGCUGAUAUCACAGAAGCUUUGAGUCAGAUGCAUCCAACCAAAGCCCCUGGCCCAGAUGGUCUCCCAGCAGUAUUUUUCCAAAAGCUUUAGAAUUCAGUAAGCGAAGGAGUUAUAGCCACUUGUCUGCAUAUCCUCAAUGAUGGAGGUAAUAUUGCUCCUUUGAAUCAUACAUACAUUGCUUUAAUCCCCAAGAUAGCAAAACCUAGGACUCUGAUGGAGUAUAGACCAAUCAGCAUAUGUAAUGUAAUUUAUAGGAUCAUUGCAAAGACUAUAGCGAAUAGGCUGAGGCUAAUCUUAGAUCAUGUUAUUUCACCAACUCAGAGUGCUUUUAUGCCAAAUAGGCUCAUAACUGAUAAUAUAAUUAUUGGGCAUGAGUGUCUUCAUAAGUGGACAAAGCUAAGUUCCAGAGGUGAGAUAGGAAAUUCUCCCGCACGACACAGCAGAAACAAACUUUCCCUUUCAUUUUCUUUUCUCUUUCUCGCUCUCCAAACAGAGCAAAAGGACCGUCACAAGAUUCUUCACUUCCAUCCAAAAUCAUGAGCAACAAAUGGUGAGCCUCCCUGUUUCCUUCCUUUUUUUUAUAUUAACCUUGUUAACAUAUACUCAUUUUAAUUUGACAAUACUUCAACUUUUUUUAAUUUUUUGCCUUUUCAUUUUUUUUGUUGAAGCAAUUAUCUGUUCAAGCUGUUGCUUAUCGGAGACUCGUCCGUCGGAAAGUCCUGUCUGCUGCUCCGAUUUGCUGUCUGUUGACUUUUCCUUUCCCUUCUUAUUUUCUUUUUUUAUAUUAAUUACUUUCUAUUUUAGCUUUUUGUUCUCUGAAUUUGUGUUAUUAAAAUGAUAAUUUAGAUGAUAAAUAAUUGUUAUUGUUGUAAAUUUCGGUUUUCAUUACGUUAAUUGUUAGCUUUUAGGUUUAUUAAUGUAAUUUUUUUUUUUUCAAUUUUUCAGGAUGAUUCUUAUGUCACAGCUACAUCAGUACCAUUGGAGUUGAUUUUGUGAGUCUCUCUUCUAUAUAUAUGUAUAUAUGUGUAUAAGUUAUAAUAUGAGUCUAUGUACGUGUAUGUAUGUAUGUGUAUGCAUAUGUGGAAAGAAAUGUUGGCAGACUUCAGCAUUUUACUCUUUUUUUUUUUGGCAGAAAAUAAGAACUGUGGAGCUGGAUGGGAAGACGAUCAAACUGCAGAUUGUGAGUCAAAAUUUCCUUUUAUCUUGUAUUGAGAGAAAUUCGAUUUGUCUUAUUUUCUUUGUUUGAAGAGUGAUAUGUUGAAAUGAGUGUAUUUGUCUUAUAAACAUCAUUUAGGUAAUGUCUUAUGUUUGAUUGUUUUUCAUCUGUUUAGUGGGACACUGCUGGACAGGAGCGAUUCAGGACUAUAACUAGCAGUUAUUACCGAGGAGCCCAUGGAAUCAUAGUAAGGAGCCUUCCCGGUUCUUGGUUUAAAUCAGAAAGUUUGUGAUUUACAUGUGACAUCUUAACAGCAUUGUAUGUGUUUAUUAACUUAUUUUUCAUCUUUCAUUAAGCAGUACAUUUUCUAUUAAAUCUGUAUACAAGAUGAUGUAGUCCAAGAAUGGGAGCCAUAAUAUGAUGCAAAUUGUCUAAUAAAUUCUUAUGACAUAUGAUGUUGUCGGAAGUAAAAGUCUUGCAAUGCUGUAUUCUCUUUUAAGAAAGAAUAAGUGGUAAUUUUGUUUUUCCAAUUUUUUAAUUGAGCAACUGUAUGAGAUUAAUUAAAUGUGUUGGGAUUUCAACAGAUUGUCUAUGAUGUAACUGGGAUGGAGAGCUUCAAUAAUGUCAAGCAGUGGUUGAAUGAGAUUGACAGAUACGCAAAUGACAGUGUAUGCAAGCUUCUAGUUGGGAACAAAUGCGAUUUAGUUGUGAACAAGGUUGUGGACACACAGACAGCCAUGGUAUAUUCAUGACUUUUGUUGCCUGAACUUUGAAUAUAAUUUUAAACUCUUCUCAAGUGCAUUUGCUUGGUAAGUUUCUGCAUACCCAGGACACUCAAACUUUGGACAGUCUGUAUCUCGAGUUGGAAUCUUUUCUGUCAAUACGACUUGUUAAAAUAAGGGUUGUUAUCUUUUGAAUCAUUCAAGAAUUCACUACUACAAAAAUGACCUUUACUGACACUUCGUUUCUGACACUUCGUUUCUGACACUUCGUAAAAAGUGUCAGUAAUGGUUUACAUUUUGGUCAUUUUUUCCAUUUAACAAAUAUGUAUCAUAAAUCACUGGUACUAAGGUGUCAGUAGCAUAAAACUCAGUAAUUACUGAUGCUUUAGUAUCAGUGAUAAAGACAAAUAUAAUUCUAAUUAUAUUUUUACUUGGACUCGAACUCAAUAUCUCCGAAGUUAAAAUUUUAAUUUCAAACUACAAGCCACGUGUGCGCAUAUUUUCUUUGUUUGGUUAAACCAUAUAUAAUUAACCAAAAACCCUUUGCCAUAAUUUAACACAAACUUUUCGAUCUCCCUCCACCAAAUUUUGUUCCCUCUCAAACAAACUAAAAUCCAAAUCCCUAAAAUUCCAAGUGCCUAAAUCCUUAACUCUCCCUAAGUGCUAACCAGUGACAGCCCCUCUCUAAGGCCUUAGCAGCACGCACGAUGACGGCGGCACACGUAGCCCGAGUACCGGCAGCCCAGCAGGUCGCACCACACAUUGCAGUAGCUCGCUCGCUUUCACUCUCUCUCUGAAUGCACACACAGCAGUGGCAGCCCCUCUCUCUCACGCUCGUUUUGUCGCUCUCACUUUCUCCGUCUCUGGUCACCAUCUCACCUUCCGGUCUAAACUGUUGUCGUCGCAGCCGCGUUCAGCCGUCGCCAUCGUGCCGGCCGCUUGAGACAGUGAGUUGAGAUUCCACUUUUUAAUUUUUUUUCAUAAAAUUUUUGCCUGAAUUUGAUUAGUCAAAUACUCAAAUUAAUUGCGUUGUGAGUAAUACUGUAAUGAUUUAAUUUGCCCUGCAUCCCCUGCAGAAGGUAAGCAACUCCAUUUUUAGGGUUCGUGUAGUAGUGUCUUGACUGAAUCGCCUUAGUAAUCAUAAGGUCAGUUUUCUCAAGAAGGGCAACUUCGAUCUUUUGGCAUUUUCAGUGCUGCUUCUGAAUCUCUGUUUACUGUAGCCUGCUUCUACAUGUGAUUUGAGGGCCAAGAAUUUAUCUCAAGGGAAAAUCACAUUAUGUUUCAAUUCUCUGUUUGACCCUUUUAACUUUUGAAUAUCAACAUUAUAUGUUUAGUGUUCCGUCAAUUGUUUUAUCAAAUACAUAGACCUUUGGGCUUUAGACACUAGUGUUCAAAAUUAGCAUCUAGUUUUUAUGGUAUCUUUGAGCAGGGGUUUCGCUUCAUUUGGUUGAAUAAAAGAUCAGUUUUCAUUGUCAUGGAUCAAAAAAAAAAAAAAAGGCCUUGGCCACUAGUACCUCAGGAGGUCAAAGCCAAGGCUUCCAAAGACAAUGUUCCCAUGAUCGAUGUGACUCAAUUUGGCUACUUUAAGGUUUUAGGUAAGGGCCUUUUGCUUGAGAACCAACUCGUUGUGGUGAAGGCCAAGCUUGUUUCCAAAAUAGCCAAGAAGAAACUUAAAAAAUCUGGUGGGUCUGUCGUGUUUACUGCUUGGGUUUAGUGUUAUUGCUUUUAUAAUUUUUUUUCUGUUAUUUUGGUUUCAGCUUUUGAGGAUUUGACUAUAUAGUUUUGGAUAUUUAUGUUAUCAUCGGAAACUUUUUGUUUUAUAUUAAGGCAUGUUAUUGAUUAAGAAGAAGAAGAAGAAGAAGAAGAAGAAGAAGAAGAAGAAUAUUUUGCAGAAAAUGUUUUAGUUUCUUUCUUCCAUUCGGCAUUUGUAGUAUUUAUUUGAUUCGAUUUCUGUCAUGGUGUGUUGAUUAUGCGGAUGAUAAGAUACUACCUUGCUCCUUUACUUAUGUUUGAUUCCUUAUACUAGAAACAUACCUCUAGUAGAGUUGCCAUUUAUCUACUUUAUUGUUGUAAAAUCUGUUAUAAAAUGUAUAAGCAAUCAUUCAUUUGAACUCUCUUUAUAUGCUUAAAAUCUGAAUUCAUGUACAAGGUGUUAGUGUCAAUGUUGUUGAUCAUUUCAAUAAGUAGUGCCAAUUUAUAAUGACCUUGGUGCAUUUCUAUUCAGUCAGUAAACUUUUGUCAUUUAAGUUGUUUAUUUGUUUAACAAAUGUAUAACUAGUUUCUACAAAUUUACUUUGUGUAUAAUAGAUGAUUCAAAAUCUUGGCAUAGAGGAAAGUGAAGUUUCUGAGGUAAAUAAGGUACUUUACAAAAACUAUACCACAUCAAUGGUUGGUCUAAGAUACAAUAUAUAUGUAAGUUUAAAUGCACUAUUAUUUAUAUACAUAUCCUUGCCAAAAAAAAAAAAAACCAAUAAAAGCAGUUUCAUAAACUGAUGUAAAUGUUGUUAUUAUUGUUAAUUUGCAGGCUAUCAGCUAUGAUGUCGACAAUGGUGACUAUCAUAGGUAACAUUAUUUUCCUUUCUAAUUCAUCUGAAAGUGUUAAUUUGCAGGGGCUGUUUCUACUACAGAAUAGCAACAAGACAGCCCCUGUAGAUUUCUAGUGGUUGUUUUCACUGCACAACAGCCCCUACAGAUUUCCGGGGGAUGUUUUGUUGCUAUUCUAAAGUCAAAAAAACUCGUAUAAUUUUUUUGGGCUAUUUUGCAAUGAAAAUACUUUUGAGGUUUGUUGAGGAAGGAGGGGAAUGAGAGCGGUAGUUUUUUAGAAGGCUUGAUGAGAGUUUCAUAAAUUUGACAAGUUUUAUGAGAUUAAAGUGAAAGAAGUUUAUGCUAAGGCUGAAAGUUUGAGUGGGUAAAUGGAUGUUUUGAUUGCAGAUUUCUGUUGUUUGAUUAUAAAAAAUAGGAAGGUUUUAAUUAGAUUGACUUAGAUGUUUUGUUUUCUGUGACUUGUAGCAGGUUAUCCAACAUGGCUUCUUUAGACAACUUAAGCUAAGGUUCUUUAUUUCUAUAACUUUCAGUAUUAUUGUAAUAUUAUUUCUUAUUAUUUUAUUAGUUGUUGAAACAUCCUUCAAUUGCUUUGUUUAACUACUCGCAAUCAAUUUGUUUUCCAUAAUCUAUUUCCAUACUAAUUGAUUUUAAUUAUGUUGUUGUAGGUGGGGAAAAAAUGAAGCUGCAUAUGGAUAUUGAGUGAUGUUCUUGUGCUUCUUUUUGGUGGAAACUAAAUUAGUACUUUGUGGUUGUUGAAAACUUAAUUUAGUACUUAUAUUUUUCUUUUCCAGAUAGUGGUGUAGUUGAAUCAUGUGAAUUUGAGUGAUGUAUUUGGGAUGUUUAUUAUGUGAAUUAUAUUGUGACAUUUUAUAUAUUUGAUAUAUUUUGAGCUUUCUUUUAGUUGUAAAACAAACAGGAAAAAUAUAAUUAGAAUAAAAAAAAUUUAUUAACCAAUCCUCAAUAACAUUACGAAAUACUGACAUUAAAUAUUUAAAUUGAAAUGAAUAUUUUUUGAUAUUAUCGAGCUAGCUUGUUAUUGAUACUAUAGUCACAUAAAUCACUGACAUGUAAAUAGUAUCAUCAAAUAUUAACAUUAUCGUAUCAUUAUUUUGGUGAUACUAUAGUGACAUGAAUUACUGAUACAAAAAUCACUGACACUAAAAAUUAGUGUCAGUGUGUUCUGGCUUGAGCAUCACUGACACAAUUAACAAGUGUCAAGAAAAGUAAUUACUGACACUAAUUUAGUGUCAGUAAAACCCAUUUUUGUAGUAGUGAUUGCAAUAAAUCUAAAGUCCAUAAAAAAUAUGAUUCCAUCAUUUUACUAUUAUAUCUAGACAAAACCCAUUAUUUUACUACAUUUCAUUGGCACCGAUAGUUGACCUGUUGGCUGACUGAUAAAAUAUCAAUUUUGCACUUUAUAUUAAUUGUUUUUUGGUUAAAAAAUAACACACAAAGUAUUACAAUAUUAUAAAUUCAAAAUAUAAAGUAGUUACAAAUAAUUCCUAUUAGCCUAUGAAUAUAAUAUUUGAUACCUCUAUUUGUGUAAUUUUUUUCCAAUGGUGAAAUUGUUAUUUUUUUUGUACUAACGGAAAUGUAGUAAAAUCAUAAGUUUUGUAAAGAUAUAGUAGUAAAAUGAUAGACUAAAAUACUUCUUGUAGUUGUUUGAUAUAUUGUAAUUCUUAAAGUAGUCAAUUGAUAAUAUCCCCUAAAAUAAAUGUUCGUAAUAUGUUCUCAUUUUAAUGCAACUGAUUGUUUAAUAAAAUUGUAUUUCUUUGUUAAUCUUUUAUCAUGUGCAUGCUCAGUGAGAAUUUGACUUGCUAGAACACAAGUUUGACUCUUCAUUUAAAUGUCUCUUGUAUCAUAUCCUUCAAUGUUGAGUGUGAUUCCAAUAAAAUUGAGUAGGGAGAUCCUUAAAUACCUUUUCCUUUUUUCCAAGGGCCUGCCAAAUUGCUCUAAGUGGUUCUACCCUUUAUCAAUGAAUAAUGAAAAUAAAAUUUUUAUUAAAGCAUUCUGUUCCUUAAAUGGUGACUAAUAGUACCCUUUUUUUUUUGGAGAGGAAAGCCAAACGCCCAAAGAGGAUCAUUUACUUUCCUCUAAUGUAUUUUCUAAUUCGUUUUGAGCCUUGAAUGUCUGUUUUGGUGCGUAUUCUCAUUCCAUGUCGAAUCUUAUCCAUAUGGACAACCCCACUUACAAAAAAGUCUAAUGAAUCUAUUGAAGUUCAUAUGAGGUUUGUGCUUUAGAUUUAGACCUCUCUCUCUCUCUCUCUCUCCACUUACAUGUCUUUCACUUACCUGUUUGCAUGCAUGCCCAUGCACACACUUUCAAGAUAAUACACGGUCACUCGUACUUCUGUUUUGGUUGAAUUACUGGCUGCUAACCUCUGUAAUUCAGUUUGAAACUUGCCACCCUUAGUGCUUCACUCAAAUGGUUGGUUAGGGUGAGAUCUGUAUCGUUUUCCUGGUCUCUUUCCAAGGUUAUCUAAAGGGAUUUGGCAGUCUGAUUCUUUAGGGAAUAUCAUUGCAUAAGAUAUCUAUUGUUUGUUAAUGAAUAAUUUCUAUUUAACUAGUUAUCUAUAUAAAUUGGUAAAUUUUAACUGCAUAAUUUGCAUGCAAUAAGAUUUUAUAAGAAUCUUGUUUUCAACGCAUGACUUAGACUAAUGUGAUAUGUUGAGCAUUAAGCUACAAGAUCUGCACAUCAAAGUGCUUCACAAUGUUAAGGAGAAAGCAUCUUUUUCUGCUUCUUCAUGUGAUUUAAAGUUUCCAUGGUACUUAUCUAAUAAAAUAUCUUUCAAGACUUUGGAAAUGCUUUUAUGUAUGACUGAGAGAAACUUGUUGGGUUGGUUUUUAGCAACAGACGGAGUUAUGGACUUUGUGUUGACUUGUUAUUGAUUAAGACAGUACAUCGGCUGAUCUAUUGGCAUCAAGCAGCAGAUGCAGAAAUUAUGGGUGGCAUACCAUUGUAUCCAAAUAACAUACUACAUUGAUUUUUCUGACUUUCUGUUGGCCUCCGAGUGAAAUGCAGGCAUUUGCAGAUGAACUGGGGAUUCCUUUCCUGGAGACGAGUGCCAAAGAUGCAAUCAAUGUGGAGCAGGCUUUCUUGACCAUGGCCGGCGAGAUUAAGAAAAAGUAAAAUCACUUAACUCUUUCCUUCUUGCCGACUGUUCUUAUUCAACAACCACCAUUAUUGCUGGUUAUGUGCAUUGUGAUGAAAAUUCUGCAAUGAAUAACUUUUUACCUAAUGUUUUCUGUUGGAACAAAUUACUCUGGUAGAAAAGCCCUACAGGGUUUGAGAAAUCCCAUGAUGUGAUGAUUGUGAGCAUUUUAGACACCGUGUAUGGGUUUAUUUUGUGACUAUAAAAUGUUAAGAUUGUUUCUAGUUUUGGUUUGUAGUGCAUAAAAGGAUUCAAAAUUUGACAUCUGUCUAAAUCAGAUUAAUAACAUGAUAAUAAUGUACAUAUGCAAGAUGUGAGGAAUUGUUUUAUCUCACCCCUAAACUUUAAGAAAUUGAAACAUUAUUAUUCAAAAUAUUUAACAUUUCCAGAAUUGAUAGUUGUCUAUUUGAGCAGUGACUGGUGGUUAUCAUGAACUGAUGUGUGGUUGUGGUUUCAAAUCUUCGUGAAACCUGUUGUCAUAUGCUGAUUAACAUAGCUAGUCUCUGAAACAAUUUGUUGAUUCACUAAUUAUGAGUUCAAAUUUGAUGCAGAAUGGGCAACCAGCCUACUGCAAACAAAUCUUCUGGAACAGUUCAGAUGAAGGGAUAGCCAAUCCAGCAAAACAGCAACCGCUGUGGUUAGCCGAGCAUCUUAUUUUACUUCUACAUGUUAGCUGACUGAUUGUAGACAGUUUUAACUAUGUUGACUGCAUUAUCUUAUGAAUCUUUUAAUCUGUCAAAUAUUUAUUUCCUGCUUUAAGUUCUUUCCCGUUUAUAACAAAUUUAAUUUCUUGCUCUAUAGCAUUCCAAAUUCCUGUUAAUUUACGAGGGAAAAAGAAAAGAGACGAAAUGGGAGAAAAUGGUCAAAUUUGUUAGGGGGGGAGAGCUGUUGAAGUAGUUUUUGUUCUUGUUUAUCAUCGUGACCCUCUUGUCGCUUAUCUACUACCUGGAAGUCCGGUCAUAUCGGAUGGGUAAAGUUACCGAAACGGCAUCAUUUUGGGUGAAAUAUCAUGUUUAUAUAACACUUUUGAUAAUAUUUUUAUGCAACAAAAAAAUGUUUGCAGUACCCUUUUCACAUUGUGAAGCGCAUGAUCGGAUGAGAGCAGUCUGGAUUCUGGCAUCACAAGCUAAUGCUUUGAUUUGCUUAGUUUGUUUUUUGUUUCUGAUAUUUUCUCGGCAUAGUGUAAAUGUAUGAAGAUGAAAUUGUUGGGUUGGUUUUGUUAUGGAAUUUGGUUUACUUCACUAACCAUUAAUGCGCAAAACCUCCUAACGACCCUCAAAAAUCCCGUACAUAAUUAAAGAAUUUCAAUUUUAUAUGUACAUAAAUAAAUAACUCUCAAAUAUAUUAUUUGAUAAUCCCAAAAACAACAAUUCAUUUUAAUAAAUCUCGUAGUCAAUACAUGGUCUAUAUUGCAAGUGUUUUCGAGACUAAUUGAAAAAGAAAAUACGAAGGAUAUAUAAUUGACUUUUACUUGUUAUAAAGAACUCUAAAUAAAUUCAUAUACGCAUCGCAGCUAAUUACAGUCUUGGUACUUCAUUAGGUUUUUGUUAAUUUUCUAUACAGUUGUGCUGUGCAUUAAAGUUUUGUUAAAUGAAAUCGGUAGUGAGAAUUAAUUAAUUAAUUAAUUAAGAUCCAGUUAAUGUAAUUAAUUUUAUUUGAUUUUUUUUAAUUCGAGUUCUAAAUUAAUCAAUUAAUUUAGAUUCAUGUGAAAUUGAAGUGAAUUAGUUUCAAACUGUUUUUCGUUCUAUGUUUGUCUGUGUUUACUCUUACUUUUUUUUUUUGUUUAAGUUUUCGUUUUCUUAUUGUUUACUGAAUAAAUUUCUGAGCUUUAUUUGAGUAUGAUGAUUGAUUUGUGAUUUUAAUUUGUGACUUUUUUUUUUGGAAUUUAAAUCUGAAUGCUUUUUAAGUUGAAUCUGAAUGUGUUGGGCUGCGAUUUAAUUGAGUGAUGUGUGAGCGCCAAAUAUUCAAUAACUGAUAAAUUAUAUUUAUAAAUAUUAAUAGUGAUGGCACAUAAACAAUUAAUUCAAGAACUUGCCCAUAAGCCACUCGGCCUUUGGCUGAGUGGUCAGGACUGCUGCCCUUGGAGGGCAGCAAUUCGAACCCUCACAAUGCAUUGUGGGGGUAUUUUCUUUCUUAAUUAAAUUUGAGUGAAGGCAGUCUGCUCUCUUACCCAAAAGUGAGGAGAGGGAGUAGACAUCCCUCGAAUAUUUGAGAGGGUUAAAAUCUGGGCAUCGCUCCAUUAGCAUUGAUGUAAGUUGGUCCCAGUCAUAAUCUGAUUUGUAAAUAUCAGUUAUAUUCUCAUGUAAUAUGAGUUGUAAUCUGAGUAAUAGUCUCAUGUAAUAAAAAAAAAAAACGAACUUGCCCAUAGUGAUUAAUUUAAAGAGUAUAAGUAACAUUGCAGUAAGUUGGUCCUUGCGUGUUUAAUUAGCAAUUGAAAACUACUGUUGCUGAUGAGGUAGAACAUUAUAACACUGUUGCUGAUGAGGCAGCUGGUAAUUCUUCUGGUGAAGAUAUUAAGACUAUUAAAGCUGAAAUGUAAUUAGAGAAAUAUAAUGCAUUCCCUUAGUUUGCUUUUUGUUUUUGAUAUUUGUUUGGCUACUGCGUUGCUUAGAUUGCUUUUUGUUUUUGAGAUUUUAUUGGCUUGGUCAUGGGGUAUUGUUUUCUCUUCUAAUUUCUAUUUUUGUUGUUAUGGGAUUUGAUUAUGGUGUACAUAUACGAAAAUUAUGUAAUCAAGUGCUUUCGAUAAAUCAUGAUCGAUUUACUAUUAAUUAAUCAAAUUUAAUUUACUCAAAUUACUCAUGUACACGAUCAAAAUAAUUUUAAUUCCAUAAUAUAUAUACACACGCGCACACACAAACAAAAUGUAAUUGACAUUGAAAUAUAAAAUAUUUAAAAUAAUCACCGUACUAACAAUUCACAAGUUAGAUUUUAUAUAAAUAGAUGAAAUAAUGUUACUCUUGCGAAUCCAGUCAUAAUAAAUUGAUUUUCAUUUCUAUUAAUUAUGUCGAACCAUGCUAUUUUAAUAAAGAGCACUUGAGAAUAUAUAUCCAACAGGUAAAAUUUCAAAACAAUAUUUGCCAAAGUCUGAUGAAGAGAAUAUACACGCACGCACAUAUAUAACCAUACAGCAGAAGGAUAAAUAAAAGAAAAUGAAGUUUCAACAGCUGAAUAAUGUAAAUUCAUUUUUUUUAACAAGCAUUUUAUUGUUUAAUUAAAAAAUUCGAAAACCCAUUAAAUACAUAUAAGGACUCACUGACGCCGAACCAUAUUAAUUUAAAUUAGUUUUCAACUGAGAUUAGAAUUUUGAAAUUACAUACACAAACACGCCCAAUUAAAAAGUAGUAAUUAUAAAAUAUUUCAGUACUCGUUUUACCAUCCAUUUGAGCAUACACAAACACACCCAAUUUGAAAAAAAAAAGUAGUAAUUUUAAAAUAUUUCAAUCGUCCACUGUUCAGUCACCAAAAACCAAUUUACGAUUCAUUUCAACGCCUAAUUUGAAAAAAGAAAAUACUAAUAAUAAUAAAAUAUUCCAAUCGUCCAUCCUUUCACAAAUCAAAAAUAUCACCAAAAACCAAUUUCCAAUCUAUUUCAAAACAAUUUUUGCCAAAGUCCUCUCCUCGGCUAAUUAAUUCAUACAUUAAUACAGUCCUCUGCUGAAUAAUGCAAACCCGUUACGUUAUUCUACCAUUUCUUAAAUUUAAAGCAUUCCACCAUUUAAUAAAAAAAUUCGAAAGCCCACCGACACCAAACCAUAUUAAUUUAAAAUAGUUUCCAAUUGAGAUUUGAAUUUUAAAAUUACAUACACAAACACACCCGAUUUAAAAAAAAAUAAUAAUAAUGCUAACAAUAAAAUAUUUCAGCCGUCCUAUGUGUUAUCGCCAAAAACGGAUUUCCAAUCUAUUACAACAUGAGGUAUAUGAGUUAACAAGUCCCAAUAUUGUCCUCCAUCCUUUCUGCACUUCUCUGCUAUCAACGGACAUCCUGCGAUCUGUAAUUGCAAAAGUGAGGAAGGCAGGCCCUUCUCCGGAAAGUAUUUGAGCUUGGGACAAUUAUGGAGUCGCAAUACAGUGAGGUUUUGAAGAUCAACAAUUGAAGAAGAUAGGCGUUCCAGAUUUGGAAAAUUGAAAAUCUCCAGAGACGUUAGAGAGGCAGGAAGAGGAAGCGCGGUCCCUAAUCUUUUGUCCUCUAGUGGAAAUGACACCAUGUCCUCAUCACAUCCACUGAUUAAAAGACGUUGCAGAGAGGAGAAUCUGUGAAAUCCCCGUCCCCGCUCAAUCAUUGACUUCCAAAUCUCCAUAUUACCCCAAAUAUCAAGUGACUGAAGGUUGGUGGGAAGGCCAUCUUCUUCUUCAAGGCUUGGAAGCGCACCUCCUUUUCCUAUUGUUAAUUCUUGAAGAGAGCUCAGAUUGUGCAUUCCCUUGGGUAAGGCCUCUAGUCUCUUACAAUUAGAUAUCGCCAGCCUCCUGAGUUUCGCACAAGGCAAUCCCCCUUCGGGAAAGGACACCAGAUUUUUACAACUAUCUAUGCUGAUUGUUUCAAGAGAUGUGUUGUUGUCCAACCUUUCUGCUAUUGACUUCAGCUUUGAACAACUCCAAACAACGAGGGACUUAAGAGACGAAGGUAGAUUGCCAACUUCAAGGGACUCAAGCCUGGCAGGUAACUCGUUUUUUGAAAAUAUACAUGUCAGAGAUGGACAACUAAUAAUUUCUAAGUGCUCGAGAAGAGAUGAGGUGUACCUUCUGCUGCUGCUGCUGCUGCUACACUGGAUACCCUCUUCCGCUGUCAAAGUCCUUAUAUUAUCGCAAUUGUAAAUCUCCAACUGCUUAAGGCUCGGUGGUAGCUGGACCGCAACAAUAUAUGUCAACG